CGGUUGUCACGGGCUCGAUGGGGAGUUCCGGGUCGUGACAGAUUAAAUACAUAUGACCAUUAGUUGAUUGGAAAUAAGAGAAUAUAGUUGAGAAUUAAUAGCAUUCUAGAAAUAAAAAAGUGAUAGAAAAUUGAGAUUUAUUAGGCACAUAAUUAGAAAAGUGAGAGAAUAAAUAAUUUUAUUAAUUAUUUUUUACUUUUAUAUUUUUUUAAUUUUUAUAUAUUUUUAAUAUAAUUAAUUAUAUUGUAAUUAUUAUAAAAUUAUAAAUACUCCCUAAAUUUGGGGCCUCUCCAAAUUGGGGGCUGAAAGCGCUUGCUUGGGUGGCUUCACCCAAGGGCCGAGUCUGCGGUACAUAUGAAAAUGGAGGAAUAUUUUUGUUUUUUAAGGUAAGUGGAUCUCAAUGGAGGGGCAACUAAAUGCAAUCCUAAGCUUUGCGUAUUCGUAAACAAUUCCUGUUAUUUAUAUGUGGAUUUUGGAUUAAAUGUGAUCAAGAAAGAAAGAUUCUGGUAAUAUAGACAGCUCUUCCACUAGGCUGGUUGCCAUUGAAUUCAGAUGGCACGUUUAGAAGGCCAGUGAGGUUGUUUACUGCAGGUGGGGCGAUUCAAGAUUCUAAUGAGGAAUGGUUCAAUGGUUUUACCAUUAGCCUUGGAAGAUGCACAUCAUAUCGAGCUAAGUUAUAGGGUGUCUAUAGAGGACUUUGUUUUGCUUAGGAGUUGGGCUUUCCAAAAAUUGAUUUACAAGUCGAUAGUAAGUUAGUUGUGCAAGCCAUUACUUCUUCUAAGAUUAUCCUUGCUCUAAUUUGGACUUAAUCCAAAUCAUUCAUCAACUUCUUCAGAGGCAAUAAGAAGUUAAUAUGCGACACAUUUUUAAAAAAGGUAAUAUGAUAACCAAUUGUAUAGCUAAUAAAAGUUUUGACGUAGAUAAUGAUUAUGUUUUUUAUGAUGUUCCUCCAGUAGAUACUAGGAAGUUAUUAUUGAACAUAUGUAAGGGAUUUGUUUUUCUCAUCUGAUUAGAGUUUAAUGAAUCUUUUCUUCCUUAAAUUUUUUUUAUUUACAAAUUGAUAAAUCUUAUUAAUAUUUGUAAUAAAAAAUUGAAUUUUAAUUUUUGUGUGAUACUGUUACCUAUAAUUGUAAAUAUUAUUUAUAUAAUAAUUGAGAAUUAUUUAAAAUGAUAAAUUAUAAUUUAGAAAUAUAAUAAGUAAAAAUAUCCGUAUUUGUGAAAAAACAAUUUUUUCAAACAUUUAUACUUUUAUAGAUAAUUAUGAAUAAUAUUGAUUUUCGUGAACUAAAAGGUUUACUAGAUAAAAUGUGAAGUAUGGAUAUACAUGAUUGAAUAGUAACUUUCCAAAAAAAACAGAAAGAGCAAGCCAUGAAAUCCAAUGAAGGCUAAUUUUUAAUUGAACAAAAAAGGUUGGUAAAAAGUUGGAAAGGGUAUUUGAUGACAGCACGUUAGGCCAAUGAUUAAAUGAAGGGUUUUUGUGAGCUUUUGGAAUUAAAAAGAGAGGCUGAAAAAGCUAGUAAUCCCGCUUUAUUCCCAGGCGUGGUAAAAAAGCUCCUGUUCUGUUCCAACCCAUCAUCAAACACAAUCAUGGAGGUCAUGUAUCUCACAGCACCCCUUUUUCGCUUUUAUGGGCUCUACUCCUACCGCUAUCAUUGCCCUUGCCACCUCAUUUAACCGCUUUCUCUAUCCUUGUUUUUCACCUUUCAACACAAGCCAUACUGCCCCUCUCCUUCCAUCUACCUUUGAGCUCUGGCCCUUUAGCGUUAGGGUUAGGGUUCAGCCUGUUGGCUUGCAGGCAAAGCUACGUAACCCAUAUUUUUUUCUAGGUUUGCAACUUUUUGGUCAUAAUUUGUUUUGACUUUAAUCUUGGAAUCUUGAAUUUUCCAGGUCUGUUGGGUGGUGCUAUCAAGAAGGCUGAUAGCUGCUUUCAAGGCUUUUGGUGCUUUGUUUCAUCUUGACCAAGUCUCCACCUAAUUCCGCCCAUUGGAAGCAAAUUCCUAAUCCAAGAUUCUUUGCAAUUUUGUCAAAAAGACAGCAUUUAAAAUAUUGGGAUUGGAGGAGAAACGAGGGGCUAGCAUUUGCAUUACGCAAAGGGUUAAUUACAUGGCAGGCGGUGUUUGGGCCAAGGUUCAACAAAAAGUCAGUUAUGGAUUCUGUGAAGGAGUUCGAAGUUGAUAACAAACACUUGAAGCUGAAUAUAUAUAUAUAUAUAUAUAUAUAUAUAUAUAGCAAUCAACUUUCCCAAGCACUUAAUUGUUUUUCAGCAACCAACCCAUGAUGAAACGGAGGAAUAACAUCAAUUCAUGGGGGGUCUAAUUGUUUGACCACUUCAAUCUCACUAAUUGCAGCAACUUGCAACUUGCAACCAAACCAAAUACUAGUAUUCCUCCUAUCUUCCAAAUAAGAUAUGUUACCUAAUAACAUUAAAUAUAAGAAUUGCUUAAUCAAAACAAUACUACUACAAGACCAACAGAUACUUAUUCAAAUGAUUACUGUUUGAUUUUAUUGUAAUUAUCUUGAAUAUAUCAUGAGAAACAAAAUUUAUUAUGAUUAGAUAGGAUCCCAAAUCCUACUUAAGGUCAGGGGUAUAUGGAAAAAAAAAAUCCUUGUAGGCCAUCUGUUGCAAAUGAGAUUAUGACAAACUUCAUUGUGCAUUAAUUAAUUACUAAAUCACCAACACUAUGUAUUCCAAAAUUAGGAACUUGCUGUACUAAGUCUGGUGUCAAAUGCAUUGACUAGCAGCUCCAUGGAAAUGGAAGAGGACGGCAGUCACAGUAAUGGAAUGAAAUUUGUUACUUAGCUUCUAGAUGGAAUGGCCCUUCUAGAUGGAAUGGCCCCUUUCUAUUCAAAUUGGUAAACCACUUUCAACAACUUGAAAAGAUGGACGGCUGUGAUUAAUGCAAUCACUCUGGACAAAACACAUAUGUACAUCGAAUUAAUUACAAUGAUGAUGACGAUGAUCCAUAUGUUAAAAAUAUAAAUAUGAGCUGCAAUAUUAUAUUUACAGAUUUUAAAUAGUAUUUUUUUUAUAAUUACCAGAUAUUAUAAUAUUAUAUAAUCAUGUUAUUGUAAGGCAUCUGAACCUUUCUUAAUUGGAAAUUUCAAGUAGAGGUCAGUUUAGUAAAAUUACCUUAGUAAUCUCUUUCUCUCACAGCUCCGCAAAUCAUUUCCUCCAAAUUCCUCACUGAUUACCCCAUUAGUCACGUUAAUAAUUAACAGUUAAAUAAUCAUAUCCAAUCAUCUAAAUUCUAAUAAUAAUAAUACUAAAAAACAUAGGAACACUAUUAAAAAAGAAAGAAAUUUUCAAAACACCCAGUUUUUCUCAACUGACCCCGCGUUUUCUUCCUUCUCCUCCCUCCCUUCCCCGUCGCCACCUCUCCACCAAACCCGAAACGCCGCCGUCUUUUUUCUUUUUUUUUUUUAAUUCUUUCUGUUAUGGGAAACUGUAACGCAUGCGUUAGACCGGACGACAGCCCGGAAAGUAAACCGAACCGGUCCGAACACAGCCAGAGAGGUAAGAAAAAAACCCGGGAAAGGAAACCGAACCCAUACGCCGAGAAAGUCCCCUCGCCGGCUCCGAUCCGAGUUCUAAAAGACGUGAUUCCACUGAGUCACCGAACUCGAAUAGGCGACAAGUAUAUCCUCGGACGCGAACUCGGCCGAGGGGAGUUCGGAAUCACCUACCUCUGCACGGACAGGGAAACUCGCGAAGCGCUCGCGUGCAAGUCAAUCUCCAAGAGGAAACUCCGAACAGCCGUCGACAUCGAAGACGUCCGACGCGAGGUUGCCAUAAUGUCAACGUUGCCGGAACAUCCGAAUAUUGUGAAGUUGAAAGCGACAUACGAGGACAACGAAAAUGUCCAUUUGGUUAUGGAGCUUUGUGAAGGAGGGGAAUUGUUUGAUAGGAUAGUAGCGAGAGGGCAUUACACCGAGCGCGCGGCGGCGAACGUGGCGAAGACGAUAGCGGAGGUGGUUAGGAUGUGUCACGAGAACGGGGUUAUGCAUAGAGAUUUGAAGCCGGAGAAUUUUUUAUUUGCGAAUAAGAAAGAACACGCGCCGCUUAAAGCCAUUGACUUUGGCUUGUCUGUGUUUUUUAAGCCUGGUAAGUAGGAAGAUUUUAAUUUUUUUCCCUUUUUUUUUUUCAGGAUUUAUGUGGGUUUUUUAUGGUUUGGCUUGUAAAUUUUGGAUUUUUUUAUUUUUUAAAAAUUGGGCUGUUAGAAUUUUUCUUUUUAGUUUUUAUUUUCACUUUUCCAGUUUCUGGUUAAAGAAGGGUUUUUGAAUUCAUUUUUUAUUUUGCUUCUUAGAUAUUUGUUUAGGCGUUGAAUCCUGAGUUUGGGUUUCGUGAGAUUUGUUUAUGGUUUGUAGCUUGAUUGCAGGAUUGAUAUUUCUAAUUUUGGAUUUAUUUUUGUAGGGGAGAGGUUUUCAGAGAUUGUGGGGAGUCCAUACUAUAUGGCUCCUGAGGUUUUGAAACGAAAUUAUGGACCGGAGGUUGAUGUGUGGAGUGCUGGAGUGAUCCUUUACAUUUUGUUAUGCGGGGUUCCUCCCUUUUGGGCAGGUAUUCCUUUUCUUACUUUGUGUUUUUUUAUGGUUGUACAGUGGCAGUGACCACCCUCAUCAAGCUUUUGCAUUAAAAUGUUUUCUUCUUUUGAAUUCUGAUUUCGAUUUUCGUGUUGCUUUUUUCAGAGACUGAACAAGGUGUUGCUCUUGCAAUUUUGAGAGGGGUCAUUGAUUUUAAGAGGGAACCUUGGCCUCAGGUUUCAGAGAGCGCCAAGAGUCUUGUUAGACAGAUGUUAGAACCAGAUCCUAAGAAGCGGUUGACUGCCCAACAGGUGCUUGGUAAGUCCUCCAGUAGUUCUUGAGAUGCUGGAUUUUCUGUCAGUACAACCGUAUUUUCGUAUUUAGCUAAAAGUAUUCAGAUAGCAUUUUGAGUUUCCUGGGGUGCUUGCUGCCUCAGUAUUAGGAAUUAUUAUUGUUUUAAAGAUUGAAGUCAGGUUAAAUCGUGGGAUUCAAUAUGAAUAACAAGAAAAUCGGAUUAACGAUCACUACUUCAUAUUUAACUUUAAUCAAGAGCAACUGAGAAAUUUCUGAAAUUAAUAAUUCACUGGAUUGAGUUUUAUUGGAUUUUUAGUAAACAUGCGUGUAAGAUCAUUUUGUCAUUCAUUCUAAUACUGGAAUGGCUGAAUAUUACCAGAGGCUAGACUUAAAAAAAGUUGUAGUUUCUUUUAUUGCUUGUAUUCUUGAAUUGGGAAAACUCUUGAGUCAAACUGUCUUUCUGCUGCUUUCUUUCAGGCUAUUUGUUUUGAUCAAUCUCUAAUCUUCCUCAAGUCUGUGGCUAUCCUAAGUUUAUGUUUUUAUAUGAGGUACCCCAUGGUUAAAGGUUCUUGCUUGGAUGGUAAUUCACCAGUAGGUUAAAGUCAAAUACAUGCUUCCUGAAGAAAUAUGGGAGCUUUUUUCGCCUCCUGUCUUGCCAAUACCUGUCUGAGAAGUGCUAAAUCUUGGUCAUUUGCUUCAAUUUUUUAGGUUUUAUUUUUGACCAGUCCAGUUAGAUAUUUUCUGCUCAAAUUUUUCCCCUUUCCAAGUCUGGACCAUAUUAGGGAGUUCUGGUAGUAGUUGUCUCCAACUUUAGCUUAGUUUUGCCUAAUGUUCUUUACAACCUGCACAAUUCUUAAAGCAUGUGUAAUCUUGAAACAACAAAUCCCUUCCAUAAUGAUUUCAAGCAGCAUGCUCACUUUAUACUAUGCUGCAGAGCAGUUGGAUACACGGUAUUUGGCAUCUGAUAAUGAAUUAUACAUUGUUUUUUUGGUCAAAUGCUGAUUGUGGCAAAUGUUGACAUAUGUAUGCAUGCAUUUAUCUAGUCUACAUGUUAAUAAACUUUAUUUUGAAGUGAUCAAGGAAAUUUAUCAUGAAGUGAGCAUUGGGGGGCAAUAUCAUUCAUAUAGAUGAGGUACUUAGUGGGGAAAGGCUUAGUUUGUUGUUGUUGUUGAAGAAAGAAAUUCAACCUUUCAAAUAACAUCUGACAUAGGAAUAAGCAAAAUUCAUUAGAUGCUUACUUGCACAGUAAUAUUUCACCUUUUAAUAUUUCUAUCACCAGAAAUCAUUUAUUUUAAUAGGUAAUAUAUUAGCAUUGCUAGUUUUUUGAAAUCCUCACAGGAUCCUGUUUCUGACUUUCCUUUUUUAAAGUAGUUGUGUUGAUUUUCACUUAUUAAUAUCUUCCUUCUUUUUCCUUUCUCUUGGGCACAGAACAUUCCUGGUUGCAAAAUGCAAAGAAAGCUCCAAAUGUUCCAUUGGGAGAUAUUGUGAGAACAAGGCUCAAGCAGUUCUCUGUGAUGAAUAGAUUCAAAAAGAAGGCCUUGCGGGUAAGGGUUUUUAGUUGGAUUAUGUGAAAUUGUUUGUUCAGGACCAAAAAUCAUUGCACCACCAUGCAAUUCGCAAGUAUCUGCUGGAUGAUUCAAUUUUGCAAAUGCUGCAGGUAAUUGCAGAGCACUUAUCUGUAGAAGAGGUUGAAGUAAUCAGAGAUAUGUUCACAUUGAUGGAUACCGACAAUGAUGGGAAAGUUUCAUAUGAGGAGCUGAAGGCCGGGCUUCGAAAGGUUGGUUCACAAUUAGCUGAACCAGAGAUCAAGAUGUUGAUGGAAGUGGUAUGGGUCAAUUCUUGCUUACAUCGAAUCUGAAGUUUCAUUUUUAACUUUGAGUUAAGUGCACUCGUUUUGCUUGCAUGUGACUUUUAUCUUGCUUGAGCCCAUUUAUGUUACUUUCAAGUUCUCUGUUCUGCUACAUGCUUCCUCUAUGUAGCAUGCUGCAAUUUGUGCUGAACAUCCUCUACUAAAUAUAUAUUUUUUCUGUGGCUUAAAUAUAAAGUUGUCAAAUUGAUCAUAUUAGCAUGCUAAUCGAGCAAAUGGUAAUUGUGAUUCUACUUUUUGCAUGUACGUCUUAGUGCCUUUGUAGUAUGAUCAUUCACUCAGUUUCAUUAUGAGAUUGCCAUCAUAGCUUUACUUUAUAUCAAUUUAUUACUUUAUAUCAAUUUAUUUACUUAUUGUCAAGUUAUUUUUUAUUUAAGGGAUUUCACAUUAUGCACUAUUGAUUGUGUAUUUCAAUAAUUAAUUGUUGGAAUUAUUAGGAAAGUUAUACUGUCAAUGGUCCUUGGCUCCUUCUAGAAGCUGUAGUUUUAUUUCUUGCAUGAACCAAAAAAUCAGCUCAGCUCCCUCCCCUGUCUUUUUGUUCUUGAAGAACCAUUCCUUAAAUCAUCUAUUGCUGAAAUUUCAAAUAAAAAUCAUCUAUUGCUGAAUAAUUUACCAUCUUUAACAAUUAUAUUAUUAAAUUUUUAUCGCAAGCACUACCUCUGAAACCAAAAAUUUUGUAAUUCCUUUUGGCCAAUGAUGUUGACCUCUAUUUAGACAUUCAUGGACUGGUUUUAUGUCUCAGAAGCUACAUCCUCUGUGAAGUUAAGAAAUGGGAUUACCUAACGGAUGUAUUGCAUAUCUACGAUGAUUCGUAGAAUUUAUUUUCUUGCAUAUUUUUUGAGAAAGAUUUACAUAUUUACUUGUUUGCAAUGCUUCUUAUUUAUUGGUUUUGAAACUUUUCUUAAAGCCAUUGUUGGGCUAACAAUAGGCUUUAGAAAUAUUGUUUUCCUUCAUUAUUAUGUUUGGAGAGCCAAGCCUAGAGAGUAAGCUUAUGUACAUGAUAUCAUGAAUUCCUAAUUGAGCUAUUGCAAAUUCAGUAAAAGCAACUUUUAUCAGAGUUUUUAUUUUUGGUUGCCAUGUCAUAUAUGAUCUAGAGAAACAUGCACCAUUGCAGUAGAACUUGAGAGGUUUUCAAUAACAUAUGUCAACUUAACUUUAGUAUUAAUCACUAAACUGGAUAAUUGUAGUUCUGUCUACACUGUGUUUCACACGUGUAAAUUUUUUUUUUUGGAUAGUUUCACAUGUUUAGUUAACCGAAAGAUCACAACUUAACAUGAUACAUUAUUAAACUUGAUUACAUGUUUUUUCUAUAAUCUCUGUGUUGAUCCAAUAUUUAUUUGUAAUAGGCUGAUGUUGAUGGAAACGGGGUACUAGACUAUGGAGAAUUUGUAGCAGUGACAAUUCACUUGCAGAAGAUGGAGAAUGAUGAGCAUUUCCGCAGAGCAUUUAUGUUCUUUGACAAAGAUGGGAGUGGAUAUAUUGAACUGGAUGAGUUACAGGAAGCCUUAGCUGAUGAAUCAGGUGAAGCUGAUGUUGAUGUGCUGAAUGACAUCAUGCGUGAAGUUGACACUGACAAGGUUUGACUUCCUAGCCAAACUAACUCGUAUUGUUUCCUAUGUUCAGGAUGACUCCUAUUUUGCGACAAUUUUCUUUUUCAUAAAUAUCACUUUCAUGGUGCUUAAUUGAAACAGAAAUAUAAAAUCUGAGUAAUUAUUACUUUAGAAAUGUGUCAAAAUAGAUUCUGUUAAAAAAGGUUCAAAUUUCACUGCAAUUGGGACUAGAUGUUGAGGAUUGUUAAUUUUCACUAAAAUUACUAGUCCCCUCUCUCUGUCAUAUAUUUUCUUCUGUAAGUUUGCAUUUUCACCAUAUUAGAUCAGUUAUCUCAUUUUUUUGUCCUUGUCCACAUUUAUUCAGGAUGGUUGUAUCAGUUAUGAUGAAUUUGUUGCCAUGAUGAAAGCUGGCACUGAUUGGAGAAAGGCAUCAAGGCAGUAUUCAAGAGAGAGGUUCAAGAGCUUGAGUCUUAACCUGAUGAAAGAUGGUUCUUUGCAGCUCCACGAUGCAGUUACUGGCCAAGCUGUUGCUGUUUGAGCUAUAUAUGGGAUCUAUGACUUUGUUAUGCUUGUGCCUGCUGGAUGUUUCUCUCACCCUUUUGUUGUCGAUAAAUGAUUGUAUAUCUGGAAAACUAGCAGACGGGUGAGUGGCAUUUAGGUUUAACAAUGAGCUCUUGGAGGCAGACAGAAUAUUCUUUGAUAACAUGUUGACAUGGCCGGCUUUGGUUGGUGUUUUGCUGCAUGGAAGUGUGGAUUAAUCCAUUAGAGUGGUUAGCAGAUGGUAGCAAGUGAAUGCAUGUCCAUGUAUAUUUGUUCAUGUCAUGUUGUUUGAUGAUUUACUUGGUAUUAUUUUAUUUCCAUUUGUGCAGAAUCUAGUAUAGGGUUGUUUAUAAGCAAUGUGAGUCCUUGGAAAAAUAUUCCCAAUGUUGGUUAUCCCAUCCAUUUGUGGUCUAAUUUUCUCAUGUAAAAGCUCCUAUUGUUUGUUGGAAAAGGAAAAUGAGAGAGACAGAAGAAAGGGUUGUUACUUAUUGAUGUUGUGAUCAAGAUUUAUCACUGAAAUGUAGGUAGGAUGAGACCAACAACCCAUUUAGUGGUUGCCUUCAGAAACCAUAUCUAAUUUAAACUUAAAUAUUGAGAUAAAUUAAAAGGAGAAAGGAUAAUUUUACUUUUAAAUCUCAUCCACUUACCAUUAGAUUAAAUAUGGUUUGUAAAUCUUUCAAUAUGGUCAAUCUAUUAUGUCAAUUUUUUUAGUUUUUAUCCUUCCAACCUGCUAUAAUUAUCUUCUAAAACGACUUAAACUGAUUUGAAAGUUUAUCUGAUUGAUUUAAACAUUCCCAUUUUUUCUCUUUUUUUAUUAUUUACAUCAAAACAAUGUUAUCUCUCCAAUUUUUUUUUUGUCACAUGUUUUCUUUAUUCUAUUAAAUUUCACAACUAAAUUUCCUCAAAAAAAAAAAAAAAAAAAAACAUGUCUCACGCGCUAUACUAACUAUUUGGUAUCCUUGUUAAGAUCACCAUGGUGAUCUAAAUACAUUUUGAUCUUGGUAUGUAAAAAUACAAAUGCAAAUAGACACCCUUGAUAACUCUCUCUCUCACUCUCUCGUGCACACACACACACAGAUAUAUAUAUAUAUAUAUAUAUAAUUGAUAAAAAAAUUAAUUUUUUAUAUAAAUUCAAACAUACAAUGAACAAUAUUGUUGUAGAAAAAAAAAUGAAUUUGUUGAAAUAAAAAUUUACACCGACUCAAAGUUGCUUCAUUUUGUUAUAUCUUUCUCAUUCACAAAAGUAUCAAUAUACCUUUUAUGUUUAUUUUGAUUAAUUAAAGAUAAGUUAAUUUAUUUAAAAAGAUCUAUAAAUUUAUAGGUUAGAAAUAUAAGAGUAACUCAAUCUCAUGCAUAUACUUUUUGGUGGAAUUUAAAAAAUAUCUUAGUAGAUCUUAUUUAUAUCAAAUGUUAAAGUUUUUACAUGAAAACUAUGAUCUUUUCACCUUUGUAAGAAAAAAUUCAACAAAGAAAAAUUUGGGUUAUUAUUACACACAUUUGUUGAAGAUCUUGAAGAUCAAUUUUCGUACACAAUAAUAUUAAAAAAUUCUUUAUAUAAUUUCACGUGCAUUAUUAAGUAAUUUACACUUAUUACUCAUAAUCACAUAUUUAUAUGUAUUUCUAUAUGUUAAAUGAAGAUAAAAACCAUUUACUAUAUGAAAGUUAGUUUAGAUUCCCUUUAUUACCCGCUCUCCCACAUGUUUAUUGCAUUGUUGAUUACUUAAAAAAAAAAGAAAUUUAAGCAUAUUCACUAUCAAUGUUCAUAAUAUUCACUAAUAUAUGCUAUUUUAUGAACGUUAAUUACAAUUGAAAGUAGAUUAAUUGAGUUUUCUCUAUCAAAGUUCAAGUGACAUCUUUCCAAGUUUGGACAAUUUUUCUCCCAAAUAGUCUAGCCCAUCAAUAAUUGAGAGCUUUUUCCUUUUUGGGUACGAUAUAGUUGAUGUAUGAGCUACAGUGUUAUACCAAAGGACUUAACAAUUUAAAGGCUAAUUAAUUGCAAACUAAAUUAGCCAUAACUUAUGCAAAGAAAUUAGAAUGGGUUCUUUUUAAUUAUAAUUUUCAACAUUUUUAUAUUUUUGAUUUGGAAAGUUCAUACUCUAUAUUCAGGAUUUAAAAUAUUCUAUUAGGAGUGUAUUCUUCUAGCAAGAUAUAAUAUAUUAAAAGGGUUUAUAUUUGAUAUUCUGAUAAUGUAUAGCUUCUAUAUUGUGAUACUUUCAAUUUUUAUGUAAUGGUAAAACGUAAACCUACUUGGUGAGUUUAGGAGAAUCUAUGAACAUGACACUAGUAGCGAGAUUUUCUUGGAAACCCAAUGUUUUUUUAAAAAGGUUUUAAGCUAAAUGAGACAAGGGAGGAAAGAUAUAGUCAAAAGAAUGAAUUUUUGCCAAGAAAAUUAUGUUCUGUUGUAAAAGUAUCGAUACCUUAAGAAUAGGUAUCAAUACUUAAGAAGAUAGAAUACCUUGGAAAGUAUUCUAUGUAAAAAGUAUCGAUACUUAAAGAGGAAGUAUCAAUACUUAUUGAUACCUCAAAGGGAUGUAUCAAUACUUAAUGGUCAAAUGCUUUAGAAAAAGCAUGCCUGAUGAAAAGUAUCAAUACUUAUAAAAAAGAAUGAAUACUUGAGGUGAAAAGUACAAAAAUAAAACCCCCUCGGGCUAAAUGCCCAUUUGUUUUUCGUUUCUCAUAGUGUACCUCUCUUCCUUCCCUCUCCCAAGUCUUUCUUAUAACCAUCCAAGAGUAACUUAAACUCAAGUUUUAAAUUGAUUAAGGUAAGGUUUGCAACCUUGCGAACACUUUUAUCGAUUGGUUUUUGAAUUAACUUUUCUCAUUAAGAGAAUUUUUAUUUUUCUCUUAGUUGUGAGGAUUUUCAAAUUGGUUUUCCUAAUGUGUGCUCACCAAGGUAAGUGAAAGCAAGCAUUAAGUAUAUGGUAAUAUGAACUAUGGGUUAUAGAAACUUCUGAGCUAAACUAGAGUUUGAGAAAUAAAUGUUUUUGUUGAUUACAUGUGUUGAUUGGUUUAGGUUCCAUUAGGCUCCCAAGUUUAAUAGCUAGAAGAGCUUGGGUAGGUAACUUUGCAUUAUGUUGGUGGCAUAUAAGUUGGGUGGACUUGCAUUGAAAAAUGUUAUACUAUGAAAAGCAUGACAAAAUAUGUGUUUGAAAUGAAUGUGCUUAGAAAAUUGUUUUUGUUAUGGUUUAACCAUCGAGGAUAGGCACAUGUGUAUGUAUAUAUGUUCUCAUAUAAUGAACUUGCAUGGAAACAAGCUUUUCAAAUGGCGUAGUACGUUAAUGAUAUAUCAAGUUGUGUAUGGUUGUGUUUUCAAAGGUAAAUUCUUGAUGUUUUAUAAAGUUAUGUGAUGUUGAACAUUUUAAGGAUUUGUAAAAUGUUAUGUGGUGAUGGCAAUGAAACUUUGUGAGUUGUGGACUCCUUAAUGGAGGGAUUCGAAAUGAUAUGUAUGUACUGAGUGGCAUGGUAGUAAAGCUACAUGCCUAAUGAUUUUUUAUUAUGAGAACCGUGUAAAGGACUUUAUAAUGGCUUACAUGAGAUAAAUGCUUUUAGUGGAGUAGCUUAAGUGAAGGACUUUUCCUAGUUACGACAUCACUAGACAUUGUACGUAAUAAGAUCAUCCUAGCUAGCCUUGUACCCGAAGGAUUGCACAAGCAUUUAUGAGGUCAUUGACGAAAUGGCACUAGACCGUAUCAUGAGGGUUAGCUACCUAAAUAUCAUCCUUGAUAGUUGGGAGUGAAAUACACUAUUCGUUGGCUUAAGGUCCACGAGACCAAGUUUACACAUAGUGCUUCACUAGUAUGUUCCACCUAGCUACAUUUGAUGAGUUAUGUAAUAAUGUUGUCAUGAUUUUGAUUUAAAUGACAAAGUAAGUUUUCAAAGGGAAUAGUGUGGAAUAAAAAUGUUUUGAAAAAUGCUUUAUGAUUAAAUGUAUAUGGUUGUUGUUAAGAAUUUGGGAGAAAUGUUUAAGUACUUCAAAACUGUAGAAUAUGAAGGAAGAAUUGAUGCUUUUGAAUAAGGUAUCAAUAUUGUUGGUCUCAAUAAUAUGUGCUAGAGGGGGGUGAAUAGCACAAUUUGGCUCUUUCAAAAAUUAGCUCUAAGUUGGAACAAAUGCAAGUGAAAAGAAAGAAUGAAAAUAAGAACAAAAACAGAGUAGAUAACAUAACAGAAUUUAGAGUGGUUCGGUCCAAGACCUACUUCCACUACCUUGAUUAUCCAACCAAGGAUUUUCCAAACAAUCCACUAGGAACUAGUGAAAUUCAUAAGCUUUCACCAAGCUUUACAAUGGCUUUUACGAGGCUCAGCCAAAACCUUUUACACUAGUUUUUCCCGGGCUCAACUAUAACCCAACACCUAACUUUUAAAGGCUAAGUUAGAACCUUAACACUUUCAAGCAAACGUAGCUUGAAACAACCACUUAGAGUGACUCCCUCUCUUUAAGAAUACAAGAGAAGAGGUAAAAGAAAGUACCUAUGAUCAGAAGUUGAUCUAAAUGGUACAAGGUUGAGUGCAGAAUACAAAUACAAGAGAUGGGUGUUUAAGUGCAGCAAGGUGUAGAGAAGAUUUUCUAGUUUUUUAACUCUAUAUGGCUCAAAUCUCCUCCAAAACUUCUAAAAACUAGUUUCUAACUAUUGAGAGACCCUUUUAUACUUGGAGAAACAUCUAUGAUGGGAGUUUGACAGUUUUCUAGCAGUUGGAGACAAUUGAGAGUCGGUUCUAGCUGUUACUCUGUCUUUUAGUGCAGAUUUCAAACUUGCAGGGAGAUUGCUCUUAGUCGACUAAGUCGUCUUUGUUUUCUGCUCCCUGUAUCUGGUAGUUAUGGCAAUGUGCACUUAGUCGACUAACCCAUUUCUUGGUCAACUAAGUUGGUUUUGUCUUGAAGUUUAGAUUUUGGCAGUAGCUUUUUAGUUGACUAACUCACAUCUUGGUCGACUAAGUUGCUUAUGUUUCUCAGUAUUCUUCAACCUGCCAUUUCUUCAAUUUAAAUUUUAGUCAACCAACAUUCUUCAUUAUUUAACCAAAGUCCUUUCUUUUUGUUGAUCAAUCGUUUUUCUUCAUUUUCAUGAUUUUUGAUAUACACAUAUGAAAGAUUGAUUUAUUAUUUCCAUAUGACUUUUUGUCCUGCACACUUAAAUAGAAAUGUUUGACACAAAUGAAAUGGGAAUGUUUUGUUAUCAUCAAAAACUAAUGGAGCUAACAAUCUCCCCCUUUUUGAUUAUGGCAAAACAUUCCUUGGUUAACAGCACAAUGUCCUUUAUUCUUUUUAAUUUCAGCAAAAAGUAAGGAUUGCUCCCCCUAAGUGUGUGCUCCCCCUUAAUGUAUGCAUAUUUAGCUUAUUCAUUUCAGCAGAUUUCAUUCAUGUCAUAUAGAAAAUGACAUCGUUCAUUCAGAGUAUAUAUAUAUGCAGAUCUUUACGAUAAUUUGCAGUAGAUGAAUGUUGACAGUUUCUCAUCAAAAUUUUAGUAGUGUCUGUCAUUAACAUACUAUUACCAGAUUUUGUCUAUACCAUUCAACAAUCAUCAGAUACACUAUACUUAGCAUCCAUAUCCAUUAACAAACAUAAUUUACAGUAAAGAUCGGUAAUCAGUAUGCAAAUCUGAAUAUCAAUGUAGUGAUAGACUUUCAUUAACAGUAAUUAAAAUGUCAUAAAUAGCAGAAUAUCAACAAGGAUUCAAUUAUCAGCAGCAACAUACUAUAAACAUAUCAGCAAAAUACCAUAAUCAUUCAUAAAAAUAUCAACAACAAAAUUAAAGUUAAGUGUUCGAUUGCCAUCAUGGCAUACCCAGCAGGAAAACAAAAACAACAGUUGAUAUUUCUAAAAUGCCCCUGAUUCAUUUUUACUUCCUUUCUUUCCUAAAUUCCUGGUUCCUCCACCUUAACAUUUUUUUUUGAUUAAUUUCCUAAGGUUCUGCCAUACUCUCCCGUUUUGUCAGCAUCAAAUCAAGGGGUUUCUAGUCAUCUGAGGUAUCAGAGGUGUGGAUUCAAUGUCAUAAAAAGGAUUAAGAGGAAAAUGAGAAGGUUCUCGUAAAGGUGAUGAUUUUUUAGGGGAAGGUUCUGGUGAGGAUUUGUCAAAGACAUUGAUUGGAUCUUGAGAAGAAGAUACUAGAGCUAGCUUGGAUUUUUCUGCCAAUCGGGAAUACUUUCUUCUCUUAAGAAAUGCUAUCUUUGUGGCCAUAGUUUCUUGCCCUUGGUUUGUGGCUUGGAUUUUGCUGCAGUGGCUUUCUUCUCUUGUGAUGAUGCAGUGACUUUUUGUUUUUCUUUUUCAGAUUUGGCUUUCAUUCUGGGGGUUGGUGUAGAUGUUGUUUGCUGAGCUUUUUCCUUAACUGCUUCUUUCUUAGCUUGUUCCUCCCUAGCCAUUUGUUGGAAGACAUCCAUAAUGGAUACUUCUUCUGAAUUUGGAGUAGAGGGCUGUUGUUUCUCAGAUCUUGAACCAAUUAUUUCUGUUCCUUGGUCUGACUUGUCCUUGCUCUAGUGUUUAGAUGAUAGAGCCUUAGCUGGUUGAUCAACACCAAGAUGUGAGUCCUCUGUUUGAAGGAUAGGAUUGGCAGUUCUAUAAGUGGAGCCUUCAGCCUGAACACCAUGACUUGCUUCAUGAGGAGCAGACCCUUCUGCUUGCACAGCUGAAUCCUCAACACCUUGCUGUGCUGGUGCAACACUUGGUGUUUUAGAGGAAUCUGUAGCAGUAGGUUUUGAUGACAUUUUUCGUUUUCUUUUCAAUUCUUUUCCUAGUUCAGCAAAUAUCUCUUCAAUCCUCUACAAUCUAGCUCCUUGAUAAGUGAUUCCAUCUAUCCUCAUCAAGAGAUUGAAAAUCAUUUCACUAGAGAAUUGUGAGGAUGGUGCCUCUGUUGGUGCUGGAAUUGCAGAGACCUUGGGUGUUCUAGUAAAUUUCUCUCCAUCCAGCUUAUAACCCAUUUUAGGUAGACUACCUAAGUAGAUAGCCUGGUCUCUACUCUUCACCAUAUCAACUUCAUAUCUUUUUGCCCAUACACCUUUUUUUGCACUAAGGAUGUGAUCACAUUUCCAUAAGGCAGAUUAAUUUUCUCAAGUUUGCAUGCUCAUUUCAUCUUUUCAAUCAUGAAUCUGCCUACAUUCAGGACAACCCCAUUAAAAGCAUAUUCCAUCAGCUAAAGAUCUUGAAGGCUGAUGUAACCUAAACUCCCACUUCUGCCCUGGAUAUUUGCUGCGACAAAAUAGUGCAGAAUUCUUAUUUGGGGAUUGGUUAUCAAACCAGCAUUGCUAUUUGAUGAGUAUUUCUCUCUUCUCCUAGUGAUGAUUUCCCACAAUGAGGAUGGGUCAUAUUUCUCUAGGAACUCAAACUCUCCCACCUCACAUUCAACUUUUAAUAGAUUUCCAAGAUCAUCAGCAGUAACCAUAAACUCUUUACGAUUCAAAAACACAUUUAAUCCAUUUUCAAUGUAAUCAUCAUAAUCGUCUAGUUCUUCUUCUCCUAAAGCUAUACUGGCAUAGAAUUAUUUCACUAAGCUAGCACUGUAGGAUCUAUUCUUAAAUGUGAUAUACUCUUUCAGUUUCAAAUCAUCAAAAUAAUCUGACAUGCUAGUCUGAAUUUAUGGAUUUUCACUAAAACUCUCCCAAUCAAUGUAUUUCCCGCAGGUAAUGGGAGCAUUCUCAAUUUUCUUAAACCUUUCUUCAUGCAUUUUAUUUCUGAAUUUGGAAGAAGAAGUAGUACCUUUCUUUGGUGUAGUAUCCUUGUUCUUCUUUUUCUCUGAUUUAUGCUUUUUUUCUUUUUGUUUUCCAGAUUUCUCAAUCGUUUCAGCAGACACAAAUUUCUAUUUCUUCUUUUACGUUUUAGUUUCUGAUCCUUCUUCCAGUGGUCUUUUUCCUUUCUUCAUUUCAAUAAUUUCUCUAUUCUGAGAGGUUUUUGCCAUUUCUAUUCUGAAGCUUUUUGACUGCGAUUCGAGGUUUUUGGUUUUGGGUAAGUCGGUGUCAGAGGUGAGAAUGUAGAGAGAUUGAGUUUCAGUUUCAGGGGAGAGAAAAUGUAAAGAAAAAGGAAGUUGUCAGCAGUUUUAAUUUAUCACGACCCAAUUUCUCGGGCCAUGACCGACGCAUGAGCUCAAUGAGCAUAGCUCACUAAGCCCAAGCAAGCUUAUCCAUUUACCUUUGCUUAAAUAAUUUAUCAUAUCAUGCAUACACACACACACAUUUUCUCGGGUGUGAACAUAGCCAAAACACAAUGGCAUUAUCGAUAAUAAUAUACAUGCACUAUACCAGUCAUGUAGUUAGCAAUUUACAUUGCAUACACAUAUUCACAUUGUUAGAUUGUAUUCACAAUACAAAAGGACCCAUGACUUCCAACGGAGACAUUUACAAUAAAAGAGAUUACUAUCAAAUGCCAGACACAUACCCAAGAGAUGCACUACGGGGACUCCUCGAUCUGGGGUCCAACAGUCAUCUGAUCUGAAAACAUGAAUUUUUAUAAAACGUGAGUACAAUACUCAGUGAGUGAACAAGAAGGGAACAAGCAUACCAUAAGGAAUGUUUAUCGAAAUCAUGAUGCAUUCAUUUUCUCAAAACCAUGCAAUUGUUUUAGCUCCUUUAAACCCCUCAUGUAAACCCCACAUGAGUAAAUCCCUUUACAAAAAUCCAUGCUCAACUAUGGUACCAAAGAAAUGGGAAAUAUGGCAAAAACCCACAAGUUAGCAAAAUGGACAGAAAGUUUCUCGCUGUAGCGAACUUCAUUCUCGCUGCAGCGAGAACCAGAACAUCAAGGAAAAAGUCUCCUUUUUCCCUUAAAACAAGUCAUCCUGCUAAAAUAACAAUAGCAACAUGUAACACAUGUAAACUUCCAAAUUUCAACAAAACAAAUGCUUACAUAUUUGCAUUUACAACCAUAUACCCAUCAUCAACAUGCACACCAUCCCAUCAUCAUCAUCAUGCACAUCAUCCCAUCAUCAUCAUCUCAUAUGCAACGGCUUAUGCGAUUGUCACUAGGGGGUGGGAGAUCACGAAGCAUCCCCCCCUUCACUCGGCAAGAGGUGCACUUCACUCCGGAUCACGAAGCAACGGAGCAGUCCCUUCCCUCCUCUUCCAAGCUUUUGGGCGGAGAGUCAUACUUCGCCACAGAUCAUACCUAUCAAAGCACUCAUAGGGUGGAAGAUCACGAAGCAUCCAGCCCUAUAAGCUAUGGGGGCAACAACGGCUUAUGUGCACUCCCACUCACACAUAGCCGGGUCAGCAACGGCUUAUAUGCACUCCUACUCGCACAUAGUCGGGUCAGCAACGGCUUAUGUGCACUCCUACUCGCACAUAGCCGGGUUCAAAUCAACAUGUAAAGAAGCAUCCAAUGCAUAUUAUCAUAUUGUGAUAACACAUAAACCAUUGUAUAGCACAUUUUCACAAUAUAAAAUCAUUUUACUAAAAGCUUGUUCCCAAGGUACAUUUUCUAAGACAAGUUGGAUAGAAUCUUUCAUAUUUCCCAAAACAAGUUUGAAAUGCAAGUCCACUCACCGGUAUUAGGAGUAGAAAUACUCCUAUUUUUAGUCCGCGGGUACAGUCCUUUACCUGUAUCCAAUGGCUCACCACUUAGCCAUAAUCCAUGACACAUAUUCCAAUUAAAUUGUGUCUAACAGUCAUAAGCUAUUUCAGGCUCGAUAUAUAUAUGAUAUGAAAUGAAAAAUGCACGGGUAGCCAUCUAGACCCGGUAGUGGCCUAAGUCGAUUUUUCAUCCGAUAAAUUGGCCAAUGCAUCCAAUUUCACUCCAAAUUAAUCCAUUUCUCCUCUAAUACCUUAAUUUACCACAUACCAUUUAAAUAAAGCCAAAUUCAGCAUUAGAACCCUCACAGUUCCUUAUAGAAAAAUUCGGUCAUUUGGUGCACUAGCACCAAAAAUUUUUCUACAUAACCGUUUCACCUUAAUUCAUCAUUUUCCAAGCCAUUUUCCUUGAAAUAAAAACAAUCCCCCAUUGAUAUUCAGCCCUCAUGGUUCGACCAACAAGGAACCCUAGAGAAAUUGAAUAUUUCUUUUGUGUUUUUGUUCAUAACCAUGCUUAACUAUCCCUAAACACUAACAUAGUCUAAAAUCAAAUUAUUCCAACAACAAUUCCUCUUCCAUACCCAUUUUUCAGAAUUGAAUUCAUCAUGAUAACUCAAUAUUCAACCAUGGAAAUCAAGAACAAAAGCAUGGGUAAGCUAGGUAUCAAGGAGAAUUAAAGAAAUUUUAACUUACCUAGCUUGUUUCCUUGAUUUCUUCACUUUUUCUUUGAAUUUCCACCUAGGUUUUCUUGUUUUUCCCUUUGUUCUUCCUUUGUUCUUGUUGCUGGUUGCCUAGGCAGAAUAUGGUGAGAGAAUUGGGGAUUUAAUGGGCUGAUUUCUAUAGAAAAUAAUAAAAUAAUCAAGCAUGCCACGUGUCACAUGCUUAUUGGCCCAAUUUUUUAACUUUUUGACUUUUUCUUCUUAAUUUUCCACCACAAAUAUUCUGGUAUUUAUCCAAUCCUACCACAAUUAAAAUCCCUUGGUCUUGACAAGUGCUGGGGCAAAAAAAUUUACCGAUUUGCCUCCGAGACGAAAAAAUUAUGAUUUUGCCCCUAUACUCCGAAAUGUACCGAAAUCAUAUUAUUUUUACUUUUCAACCUCAAAUAACACUAAUAUUGAUCAAUAUUAACCAAAUGGGGCAAAAAUCGUUUUAUAAAAAUUCCCGUUUAGUCCUUUAGUGGCAAAAUUACCAUUUUACCCUUGUGCUCCAAAAAUAUCGGGAAUCAUAAUUUUUCACUGCUAAACAUCAUUUUAUACUCCAAUAAUCAUAAUUAUAUUUCAUAUAAUUAUUCUUGGUCCAAUGUGAUCAAAUCUUGGCUAGAAAUCUCCAUUUAAUCAUCAAAUGGUAAAAUGACCGUUUUAUCCCUAAUCGGUCAAUUUUCUUAAUGGACUCCAAAUUGGACCUUGAACUCCGAAUCACUAUUUUAAGCCAUUCUGUGGGUUUCAAAAUUUUCAAUUUCCUCUUAAAAUUUUUAUUUGAACUAGUUUAAGACUCGAUUUAACUUAAUUAUACCACUCGAUACAAUACCGUCUUUUAAUCGAGCUUGACAGGGUCUCACAUAAUUUCACUUGGAAAACCGUCUGCCUCCCCCUUAAAGAUUGCCUCACUUUAUUUACUUAAAAAUUUUAAAAUUCCCUCUACAUUUUGGUUAUUCUCCUAGGAAGUUUUUCUUUUUUUCUUUAUUGCCUAGUACACAUUAGUUUAUUUUUUCUUCAUUUAUUUGACUGAGUCUUAUUAUUUAAGACUAACAGAGCACUUUUAAUUGACUAAGUUUCACCUUAGUCGACUAAAUGCAUUCUGUUUUAUGAGCAUAAACCAAGAUUUUUCUCACAAUUUUUGUUGACUAAUCAUACCUAAAUUCCUUCUAAUUUCAUAGAAUCUAUCUUUAUUUAAGGGUUUGGUAAAAAUAUCUGCUAAUUGAUGCAAAGUAUUCACAAAAUCAAUCUUAACAUCACUUUUGACUACAUGAUCUCUUACAAAAUGGUGCUUAAUCUCAAUAUGCUUUGUCCUAGAAUGCUGCACAGGAUUCUUUGAAAUAUUAAUCGCACUUGUAUUGUCACAGUAUAUUGGUAUAUUAUGCAUUGAUAACCCAUAGUCCUUUAGUUGUUGUUUAAUCCAUAAUAUUUGGGCACAGCAACUACCUAGUGAUACAUACUCUGCUUCUGCUGUAGAUAAAGCCACUGAAUUUUACUUUUGCUGGACCAUGACACUAGCAUACUACCUAUAAAUUGGCAUGUUCCACUAGCUCUUUUCUGGUCAGUUUUGCUGCCAGCAAAGUCAACAUUAGAAUAUCCAACCAAGCUAAGAGUUGAUUCUCUAGAAUACCAUAAUCCUAAAGUUUGAGUUUUUAAGAGAUAUCUAAAAAUUCUCUUAACAGCUGUUAGGUGUGAUUCUUUAGGCUGUGACUGAAAUCUAGCACACAAACACACACUAAAUUGAAUAUCUGGUAUGCUUGUUGUUAAAUAGAGUAGUGAACCGAUCAUACCUCUAUAAAUCUACAUUCUUUCCUUUUUCAUCUAGAUCAAGUUUGGUGGAUGGACUCAUUGGUGUUGAGAUUGGUUUCAGCUUUAGCAUAUCGAACUUUUUGAGCAUAUCUUAAGUGUAUCUUUCUUGGUUGAUGAAGAUUCUUUCUUCACUUUGCUUAAUUUGAAGACCAAGAAAGUACUUCAACUCUCCUAUCAUGCUCAUCUCAAAUUCACCCUGCAUUUCUUUUGCAAAGUUUUUACAUAAAGCCUCAUUAGCUGCACCAAAUACAAUGUCAUCCACAUAUAUUUGUACAACAAUUAAAUCAUUUAAGUAUCUUUUAAUAAACAAUGUAGUAUCAAUGCUGCCUCUAUCAUAACCUUUUUCAACCAUAAAUUUUGAAAGCUUCUCAUACCAAGCUCUAGGAGGUUAUUUCAAUCCAUACAAGGCUUUACAGAGUUUGUAAACAUGGUCUGGUUUUUCAAAAUCUUCAAAACCUGGUGGUUGUUGAACAUACACUUCCUCUUGAAUGAAUCCAUUUAAAAAUGCAUUUUUUACAUCCAUUUGGCACAAUUUGAAAUUUAUGAAGCAUGCAAAAGCUAACAACAACCUUAUGGCUUCAAUCCUAGCAACGAGUGCAAAGGUUUCAUCAUAGUCUAUUCUUUCUUCUUGGUUGUAUCCUUAGACUACUAACCUAGCUUUAUUUCUUACUACAUUUCCUUACUUAUCUACCUUAUUUCUAAACACCCAUUUUGUGCCAAAAAUAGGGUGAUUUGAAGGUCUAGGUACAAGUGACUAUACAUGAUUUCUUUUGAAUUGGUCAAGUUCCUCUUGCAUGGCCAUUAUCCAACUUUCCUGAUUUUCAGCUUCUUCAAAGUUUUUAGGUUCAAUUUGUGAUAUGAAGGCUGAAAACUCACAAGUCUCUCUUGUUGCUUUCCUAGUUCUAACACCUUGAGAAAUGUCACCUAUGAUUUAGUUUUGUGGAUGGUCUUUUGUGAAUCUCCAACUCCUUGGAAGGUCACUAUGUUCAGUUUCUGUUCUUUGCAAAUAUUCUAGAGGUAGAGUUUCAUUUUCUCUUCUAGGUGAGCUUUCUUCAUUAUUCUUAUUGUUCUCUAAGCUCAUUUCUUCCAUUUGUUUUUCUAGGAUUUCUACAACAUCAUCAUCAACAUGAAUUUCCUUUUGUAAAGCAUUGGACUCAUAAAAAACUACAUGGAUUGAUUCUUCAAUAGUUAAAGUCCUUUUGUUAAAAAUCCUAUAAGCCUUUGAGUUUAAUGCAUAUCCUAAAAAUAUUGCUUCAUCACUCUUUGCAUCAAACUUUCCUAAGGGUUGUUUUCCAUUAUUCAACACAAAACAUUUACAACCAAAACUCCUAAGGUGAGAAAUAUUUGGUUUCCUACCCUUGUAAAAUUCAUAUGGUGUCUCAGAUAUCAUGGGUCUUAUUGAGACUCUAUUAAGUAUAUAAGCUGCUAUGUUCACUGCCUCAGCCCAAAAAUAUUUUGGUAGGUUAUUCUCACAUAGCAUAGUCCUAGCCAUUUCUUUUAAGGUUCGGUUUUUCCUCUCUACUACUCCAUUUUGCUGGGAUGUUCUAGGUGUAGAGAAAUUGUGAUCCAACCCCUUUUCAUUGAAAAAUUUCUCAAAUUCAUCAUUUUCAAAUUCUCCUCCAUGAUAACUCCUUAUGCUAACUAUGGCUAGUCCUUUUUCAUUCUCUACUUUUCUACAAUGACUUAUAAAAGCUGAUAGAGCAUCAUUCUUAGCAGCAAGAAAAUAAACCCAAAUGUACCUAAAAUAGUCAUCCACUAUUACAAAGCUAUAAGAUUUUCCUCCUAAACUAGUUAUGCUUAUUGGACCAAAUAGAUCAAUGUGUAACAAUUCAAGAGGUCUAGAUGUUGACACAAUUUUCUUAGUCUUGAAGGAUGUUCUAACUUGUUUUCCUAGUUGGCAAGCAUCACAUAUUUUAUCAUUUUUAAAUUUUAAAUCCGAAAGCCCAACAACUAAGUUCUUUCUAAUCAAUUUUGACAUAAUAUGCAAGCUUACAUGUCCUAAUCUCCUAUGCCAUAACCAGCUGUCAUUUUCAGCAUUUGCAACAAGACAUAUUUCACUAUUUAUUUCAAGAUCCUUAAGAAAAACAACAUACAUAUUCUUCAAUCUCUUUCCUAUAAAUGACACAUUGUUUGUACCUAUGUCUAUUACUUCACACUUAUUUGAAUCAAAACAUAUUUUGAAUCCUUUGUCACAUAAUUGACCAAUACUCAAUAAAUUAUGCUUUAAACCCUUCACUAACAACACAUGACUAAUUUGAGUUUGGAAGUACUUACCAACCUUACCUAUCCCAUGAAUUCUACCUUUUGAAUCAUCACCAAAGGAUACGGUACCUCCCUUUUUUUUGUAUAGUUGAGCAAAUAACAUUUCAUCUCCUGUCAUAUGCCGUGAGCAGCCACUGUCCAUGUACCAAGGCUGCUUUUUCUUGAGUUGAGCUCUUAAACAUGUCUCCUUUAAGUGCAGCUCAACCUACAAAAUAAAUUUUCAAUUUUUCUUUAUAGGUACCCAUACUUUGAUAGGUCUUUGAGAGUUAGUUACAAUAUAAGAUCCUUUAGGGACCAAAAUUUUUCUAACUUUCUGCUAGUUACUUCUCUUAAAGCAGUCAUAUGACAUAUGUCCAUGUUUUCCACAACAAUAACAUUUAGAUGAUGCAUAAGCAGAAUUCUUCUUGUGGUAUGCAUUUCUUUUUGAAGAUUUGAGAGCUGUGUUUUCAUCAAACGUUUUUUGUAAAGCUUCUGAUUUAUUUUUUAGCUCUAGCUUUAAAACUUCAAAAUCUGUUUUUGAGUGUUCUAACUCAACUUGCUUGAAAUUUCUUUGCUCAAAUACUAAAUUGAACUCUUGUCUCACUUUUUCCAAAUCAUUUUCAAGAUAUGUAGCCUUUUUCUUUAGAAUCUUGCAUUUUGAAAAAAGUUUUUCAAAUACAUCAUAAAGACUAUCAUACUCAUCUUGUAAAUCAUCCAUGGAAAUAUCACUGGGGGAUGAGGAUACCUCGGUUUCAUCAUCUUGUGCCAUUAGACAGAGGUUUGCUCUUUCCUCAGAUUUUUCAUCUUCAGCUUCAGAGCUUGAUGUGUCACUGUCCGACCAUGCAACUGCCACCAUCGCUUUCUUAGAUUUCUUGUUUUUCUUUAGAGUCUCAUAUUUUAGCAAUGGACAUUCGGACUUGAAGUGACCAGGUUUCUUGCACUCGUAGUAGAUCAGCUUUUCCUUUUUGUUGGAAUCAUUUUUGUUUCUAAUUUUCCAUGAAGCACCUUGAUUUUUUCUAAAUCCUUUUCUAGCUAAUCUCUGGUUUCUUCUGCCCAUAAGCUUUCUGAAUUUUCUUGCAACCAGAGCUAACUCAUCAUCAUCAUCACAUGAUAAUUCUUCCAACUCUUCUUCAAGGAUGUUGGCUUUAAGUGCAAUGCUCUUUUUCUUUUCCUUUGCUUCCCUCUUAUCUUCUUCUUCUUCCUCUUUAAGCUCCAGCUCAUGAGUAAGGAGAGAGCCACAAAUCUCAUCUAAGGUAAUAACAUUUAGGUCCUUGGCCUCUCGAAUUGCAGUUACUUUAGGCUUUUAAUUUUUUGGUAAACUUCUAAGACGUUUUUUGACUAUUUCAUGCUCGGGUAUUGGUUUGCCUAGCUGACUCAAUUUAUCUGUAAUGUUUGUAAAUCUAUCUAACAUGUUAGUGAUGUCUUCACCAGGCUCCAUUUUGAACAUUUCAUAGUUAUGUGUCAAAAGGGCAAUUUUGGACUCCUUGACUUGAGAAAUCCCUUCAUGGAUUAUUCUAAGUUUGUCCCACACUUGUUUAGCUGUUGUACAGCUUAAGACUUUGUUGAAUUCAGUGGGGGUCAAGGCACAAUGCAAUGUAUUGAUGGCCUUAAAAUUUGUUUGAACUUUCUUAGUUUCAACCUCGGUCCAUUCUGACCUUGGCUUAGGCAUCAACUCAUUGGUAACAACAUUCAAGGUUGAGGGAAUAAAGGGUCCAUCAGUUAUGACGUCCCACAUUUCAUAAUCUAUAGCUCUAAUAUAAAUUGACAUCCUAGUGCUCUAAUAAGGAUAGUUAGAGCCAUCAAACAGAGGUGAUCUGUUUGUUGAUUGUCCCUCAGCAACUAUGGAUUUUUGUUGAGCCAUUUGGAUCCUCCCAAAGGGUGUUAGACCUUAAUAACGGGGAACUAGCUCUGAUAUCACUUGUUGGUCCCAAUAAUAUGUGCUAGAAGGGGGGUGAAUAACACAAUUUGGCUAUUUCAAAAAUUAGCUCUAAGUGGGAACAAAUGCAAGUGAAAAGAAGGAAUGAAAAUAAGAACAAAAACAGAGUAGAUAACACAUCAGAAUUUAGAUUGGUUCGAUCCAAGACCUACAUCCACUACCUUGAUUAUCUAACCAAGGAUUUUCCAAACAAUCCACUAGGAAUAGAUGAAAUUCACAAGCUUUCAUCAAGCUUUACAAUGGCUUUUACAAGGCUCAGCCAAAACCUUUUACACUAGUUUUUUUCAGGCUCAACUAUAACCUAACACCUAACUUUUAAAGGCUAAGUUAGAACCUUAACACCUUCAAGCAAACCUAGCUUGAAACAACCAUUUAGAGUGACUCCCUCACUCUAAGAAUGCAAGAGGAUAGGUAAAAGAAAGUACCUAUGAUCACAAGUUGAUCUAAAUGGUACAAGGUUGAGUGCAGAAUACAAAUACAAGAGAUGGGCGUUCGAGUGCAGCAAGGUGUAGAGAAGAUUUUCUGGUUUUUUAGCUCUAUAUGGCUCAAAUCUCCUCUAAAACUUCUAAAAACUAGUUUCUAACUAUUGGGAGACCCUUUUAUACUUAGAGAAACAUCUCUGAUGGGAGUUUGACAGUUUUCUAGCAGUUGGAGACAGUUGGGAGUCAGUUCUAGCUGUUACUCUGUCUUUUAGUGCAGAUUUCAAACUUGCAAGCAAAAUGCUCUUAGUCGACUAACUAAUAUCUUAGUCGACUAAGUCAUCUCUAUUUUCUGCUCCCUGUAUCUGGCAGUUCUGGCAGUGUGCACUUAGUCGACUAACCCAUUUCUUGAUCAACUAAGUUGGUUAUGUCUUGAAAUCCAGAUUUUGGCAGUAGCUUCUUAGUCGACUAACUCACAUCUUGGUCGACUAAGUUGCUUCUAUUUCUCAAUAUUCUUCAGCCCGCCAUUUCUCCAAUUUAAAUUUUAGUCAACCAACAUUCUUCAUUAUUUAACCAAAGUCUUUUCUUUUUGUUGAUCAAUCGUUUUUCUUCAUUUUCAUGAUUUUUGAUAUACACAUUUGAAAGAUUGAUUUAUCAUUUCCAUAUGACUUUUUAUCCUGCACACUUAGAUAGAAAUGUUAGACACAAAUGAAAUGAGAAUGUUUUAUUAUCAUCAAAAACUAAUGGAGCCAACAGAUAUUUGUUCUUUAAGGUUGUUUUUAAGAAUGCUUUUGGAAUGAAAGUAUCAAUACUUUUGGCAAAACUAUCGAUACUUUCAAGACAGAAUAGGCACAAGGGAUAUUUUAUGGCUAAAAUAUCGAUAUUCGCAACUUGUUUUCUCAAAUAUGUGGAUUUUCAACUUGUUUUACCUGUAGAAGCCUUACUACCUCAAAUUAAAACAUAAGUGUGCACAGAAAUGAUUUGGAAAUUGUACGCACAUUCAUGGACUGGCUUUAAACUGAAAUUGCAUAGUUUCAAUGAGAAAUUGCAUAGGUUUUAAUAGGCUUCCUUGUCCAAUUUGCUUGUUCCUUUCUUAUGUCCUUUACUGAGUUUAUGCUUACCAUUUUCAAAUUACAUGUUUUGGUUUCUCAAAUUUGAAGGUAGCUGGAUCGUAGAUUGAGGAGUCUUACCCAUACCCAUAUCCUUCAACUGGUAGGUGUUAUCAUGGCUUUUAGUAAUAGUCAUUUCCACACCUAAAGUAACUUUGUUGUACGAUCAUGGGUCCAUGUGUAUGUGAUAAGAGUCUUGUGCAAACAUUGAUGUAGCCCGAGAAUGGAUUGUGCAUAUAUAUUGUUAGCUCACCAAAUACUGCCACCUUAUUAAUGAAGUAAAACUAAAAAUCUUUAAGGGUUUAAAACUAAAUAUUAAAAAUUUCCUUUAAAAAUAAAAAAUAUCUUUUUUCUCUCUUCAACUCCAUCAUCUUCUUCUUCUCCUCUUCUUCUUCUUUUAGGUUUGAUAAAAUUGUGCAACUUCAAGAGUAAUAAGAUAAUUAAAAUUGUCAAGGUAAAAAAAAAUAAUUUUUUUUGAAGUGCUAAGAACAAGUAUAUGAAAUGUUUUCAAUAACAGCACAAACAAGGGCAGAUUCUCCUUUGUUUUGAGCACCCCUAAAUUAAAAAAAAAUUAUAUCGUAUAAAAUUUUUAAAAUUUUUCAUAUAUUACCUUAAUGGUUCCCUCAAAAUAAUUUUUUAUUUAAUAAUUAAUGCAAAUAAAGAAUAAUAAAAUGAUCCCAUAUGUUUCACCCAACUUUAAAGUUUUUUUGUUUUCUUAUUUCAAUUCAUAUUGCUAUUUUUAUUUAUAUUUGUUUAUUUUUUAUUUCUAUUAUAUUUACUCUUAUGUUCUAAGUUUCUAUAGAUUUUCUUGUCUAAAUUCCUACGAACCAUCAACCAUUUUUUUUUUCUUUUUUUUAUUAUGUCAUAUAUGAGUUUUAUCUUCUUCUUGCUAUGUUUUUUUUUUUUUUUUGGUAUGUAGAUUUUAUUUUCUAUGAUUUAAUUUUUAAAAUUUAAUAAAUUAUUAUGUAGUUCUCAAAAUAUAAGUUGGACUGUUACACUAUUACUUAAAAUUUCAUCAAUGUAUCAAUUUUUUAUUAAUCUUGAUCAUGUAAGACUAAUUUAUCUUGAGUACAUCUUUUUUAUGUUCUUUACAUCUUAUAUUUAGUUAAAAGGAAAUUAUCUUAAAUAUAUAAUCUUUAAAAAAUUCUGAUUAUAUAAAAAGAAAUUAUUGAUCCUUUAUGUCAUAUUUAACUAUUUAUAUUUUAUACAUUAUAAUUUUAUAUUUAAUAUAAUAAGUUUAAAUAGAAAUAAAAUAAGAAUAAUGGAUGUUGACUGCAUUAAUUUUUUUUUAUUUUGAUUAAAGUAUGACUAAGUUGAAAACUGUAAAGCCCGACCUUAUAAAAUACUAGUCAUUACAUACAUGUGAUGAUAGCAUGAUUUCAUACUAGGAGAGUCCCGAAAAAUUUACAAGAGNNNNNNNNNNNNNNNNNNNNNNNNNNNNNNNNNNNNNNNNNNNNNNNNNNNNNNNNNNNNNNNNNNNNNNNNNNNNNNNNNNNNNNNNNNNNNNNNNNNNNNNNNNNNNNNNNNNNNNNNNNNNNNNNNNNNNNNNNNNNNNNNNNNNNNNNNNNNNNNNNNNNNNNNNNNNNNNNNNNNNNNNNNNNNNNNNNNNNNNNNNNNNNNNNNNNNNNNNNNNNNNNNNNNNNNNNNNNNNNNNNNNNNNNNNNNNNNNNNNNNNNNNNNNNNNNNNNNNNNNNNNNNNNNNNNNNNNNNNNNNNNNNNNNNNNNNNNNNNNNNNNNNNNNNNNNNNNNNNNNNNNNNNNNNNNNNNNNNNNNNNNNNNNNNNNNNNNNNNNNNNNNNNNNNNNNNNNNNNNNNNNNNNNNNNNNNNNNNNNNNNNNNNNNNNNNNNNNNNNNNNNNNNNNNNNNNNNNNNNNNNNNNNNNNNNNNNNNNNCAUGUGUCAAGCUUAGGAUAUUUUAUUAUUUAACUAAAAAAUCAGCAUAAAUCAGUCCAUUACUCUCCAAAUAUUUGGCCAAGCAAGGAAGAGAGAGAAAGAGAGGAAGAACAAACCCUAGGUGAGGAAUUUCAAGAGAAAAAGUGUGGAAAAUCAAGGAAAACAAGUGAAAAAGGUAGGAUUUUUCAACUUAAGCUUGAAAUCUAUUUUCCUUGAGCGUUUCUCCAUAUUUUCCAUGCUUAAAUUACAUGUUUUCAUGAUGAAUUGUUGGCUGAUCAAAAUGGGUUAGGAGAAAGAAAGUUGUUGGAUUUAUUUGAUUUUAAGUUAUGUUAGUGUUUUUAGUUAGUUUAGCAUAUUUAGAAACAAAACAACAAGAAAAGAAUUUAUUUUCUCCCACAACCAUUAAUGGCCGAAUUUACCAUGUAUGAGUGAGGAUGAGUUUGAUUUUUAUUUUAGGAGAAUUGGUUAAGAAAUGAUGAAUUAUGAGCCUAGAAAAAUAAUGAGAAUUUUCGGAGCAAAAAUACGAAUUUUUACCCAUUAGGGUUAUUUUCGAAAUUUGCUGCCGAGAUUGAUAAUUUGCACCACACUGAGGGACAUUAAGUCAAUUUGGGUGCAAUUGAGGUAUAGAAACUGAAAAACAUUAAUUUGGGAUUAAAUUGGACGCGUUAGUAAUUUAAUCGGGUGAUAAGACGAAUUAGGUCAAUACCGAGUUUAGAUAGUUACCAGUGCAUUUUUGCAUUCCAUAUUAUGCAUUAAUAGUCUAAAUUAGUUUAAUUUCAAUUUAGUACCAAUGUAGUGAAUUUCUCGACUUUGUAUUGCGUCAAGGUGGUGGAUCCUCCGAUAAAGGUAAGGAAAUUGCAUCCGAGGACCAGUAGACAAAGUGUAUCGAAAGUCUGCAUUCUAGACAUUUUAGUAAACUUAUUGUCAUUUUAAUUAUCUAAGGUGGUUUUUAGCGGAUUUCAUGAAUUCUAUGGAAAAAGGAAUUUAAAAAGGUAAAUUUUCAUGUUUUAUGAAUAAAUGUGUUUCAACGAAAUUAAAUUAUAAAUUGUUUUGAAAUUAAUAAUGAUUUUGAAAAAUAGAGUACACGGAGACUGUUAAUUGUGGCAAUUUGAUUGUUUAAAUUGAUUGACUUAUGAUAAAUCGGGCAUGAUUGGCUAGUUGGCAAUUGUAUUGAAAUACGAAUUGUUUGGUUGCCUUGAAAGAUUGCGAAUUACAAAAUUGCCAUAUCAUGUUAUUGAGUUUUAUUGUAUGUUGAAUUAUAUAUUAAUUAAUCAUUGUAGUAUGGGGUUUCUGUGGACCAGCCUUUUAGAGGGGCACAGUAAACCCCAUUAUAUUCUUACCUCGAACGGAGAGGCGCGUAGGGUAUCUCCUAGGGUAAAGUUUAGAGUUCACUUCACGGUAAAUCACCACGUGAGGGGGAACUCAGCCAACGCCAAGGAACGGCUAUACUUUCAAAACAAAAACAUGAUUUAUGUGAAAUGUGAAUUUUAAUAGCCUUGGCGGUCUCAGAAGGAUGCCUAGGCCAAGGUGUCCUUGAGAAUAGAUUUAUGGCACAAGUCUAGUUUUUAUGAAAUUCAUAAGCCUCUUUACAUAUUUUAAAUGAAAUGUAUUCUAAUGCUGUGACCCAGUUUACGAUGAUUUAUUUUAUUGUCUCAAUGUACUCAACUCUAGAUAUUUAUGAUGAUGUCUGUUUACUCAUUGGGAUUUUAUAAUCUCACCACCCUCCUUUCCACCCAUUUUAGGUUCAGUAUAGGCUGUAGAUAGCUGAUCUCAUCGAGGACUACCGUUGGAUCUUUAUUUUUCAAACCGUAGGUUCACAGUCCUCUUUACUUUUGUUUAUUCAGGGGCCCUCUUGUUAUUGUAAAUUAAAUUAAAUAUUUUGGCUUACUGUAUUUCAGUAUGUAUAAAUUUAUUUAGCUUUUACGCUAUAAAAAUUAUUCACAUAUAACUCUAUAAAUAUUGUUUUAUAAGAAAAUAGAAUAUUUUACUUAAUAUUUCUUUUAUUUUUUUAUUAUAUUCAAAUAACCGUAAUUUCGUUUUAAAUGAAGAUUUUAGACUUUUAAACUCAUUUUGAAUAUGAAUUAUGUGUUUUGUACUUAUAUAUUACGUUUUAACCAGUUUCAAAAAUUUUAAGAAAAAAUGACCAAAAUACCCCUGUGAGACGAAAAUUAAUAUCUUAUUUAUUUUUAGUUGGAACCAGUUUAAAAUCUUUUAGAACACGAUAUUUGACAAUGGUUGCUCACAAGGGAAAUGAGAAACUGAUAGUAAAGCCUUGCAAGGUUUUGGGUUGACAUUCCGGGCAAUGAGUGUCUACUGGGACACCACGGCGGUUGUCACCGGCUCGAGGGGAGUACCAGGUCGUGACAAUUCAAUUGGUAUCAGAGCUUUUGAUUUUAAAGAUAAGAGUUUUUAGUUUUAAAGUUGUUUUAAAAAUUUACAGUUUCAGUGUGGCCCCGGAUUAAAUUAGGUUAGGUCGAAUAGAAUGCAUGCAUUUUCAUAUAGAGCCUAAGGUUACCUAAACUUGCUCGUAUUCUUUUAUAGAUUAUAAUGCCUCCUCGAUGCGAAUGCCCACCUCUCACUAGAUUGGUUGGGAGGGGAAGAGGUCGUUCCCAACGUCAUCAGCCAGAUACAGUAGAAGAGGAAUCAGCUGCAUCCACCAUUCGGGCAGCACCUACUGCUGAGCAGGCCGAUAGUCCUCCACAUCCUCCACCUCCUCAGCCACCUAUUGGUAUUCCCGCCAUGCCUACCGAGGUAGCACAGGCAUUAGCAGCUUUCUUUACCGCAAUGGCUAGUCAAGUUCCACCUAUAGUACCUCCAGCUACUUCUUUAGUUCCACCACCGGUACAGGAUGUAUCUAUUUUCAAGAAGCUAAAAGAGGCUAGACAGCUCGGUUGUGUGUCUUUCAAGGGUGAGUUGGAUGCCACUAUGGCAAAGGACUGGAUUAAUCAUGUUUCAGAGACUCUCUCUAAUAUGGGAUUAGAUGACGACAUGAAGCUGAUGGUGGCUACGAGAUUAUUAGAGAAGAAGGCUCGUACCUGGUGGAAUUCGGUGAAGUCCCGUUCCACAACUCCUCAAACAUGGUCCGAUUUUCUCAAGGAAUUCGAUGAUCAGUAUUUCACUUAUUUUCAUCAGAAAGAAAAGAAGAGAGAAUUUCUAAGUUUGAAAUAGGGGAAUCUAACUGUAGAGGAGUACGAGACUCGUUUUAACGAGUUGAUGUUAUAUAUGCCGGAUCUGGUGAAAUCUGAGUAGGAUCAGGCCAGCUAUUUCGAGGAAGGGCUCCGUAAUGAGAUUAGAGAGCGGAUGACAGUGACUGGUAGGGAGCCACAUAAGGAGGUGGUACAGAUGGCUUUACGGAUUGAAAAGCUCACGAUUGAGAAUAUGAGGAUUCGGACUGAGUUUGCAAAAAAAAAGAAUCAUGGUAUGUCUUCUAGUCAGCCAGUAAAAAGAGGCAAGGACUCAGUGACUUCAGGGAGCACUACUUCUGUUUCCGUGACAUCUCCUCGACCUUCAUUUCCACCAUCACAGCAAAGACCUUUGAGGUUUAGCAGAUAUACUAUGACUGGUUCUGGGAAGAGUUUCGGAGGUUCUGACAGAUGCAGAAAUUGUGAAAAUUAUCAUGUUGGGCUAUGUAGGGGGCCUGCAUUAUGUUUUCAUUGUGAUCAGCCGGGUCAUAUUAGGAGUAAUUACCCACGGUUAGGACGAGCCACUGUAGCUGCAUCAUCUCCACCAGCUCGCAUUGAUAUGCAGAUGAGAGAUUCUUUUGGGUUACCACCGAGACAAGGAAUAGCCAUACGGUCUGGUGUGGAGAGUAAUACCCCGACACAUCCACCUUCGAGACCACAGACUCAUACCUUGACAAGAGUUUUCGCUGUGACAGAAGAUGAGGCACGGGUCCGACUUGGAGCAGUGACAGGUACUAUGUCUUUAUUUGAUAAAUAUGCUUAUGUUUUGAUAGAUUCUGGCUCAGAUGGAUCUUAUGUGAGUACGACAUUUGCAUCAAUUGCUGAUAGAAACCUGUCACCAUUAGAGGGAGAAAUUGUAGUGCAUACCCCUCUAGGAGAACAGUUGAUUAAAAAUACUUGUUAUAAAGACUGUGGGGUAAGGGUAGGUGAGGAAGAAUUUAACGGUGACUUAAUUCCUCUAAAGAUCUUGGAUUUUGAUUUAAUAUUGGUUAUGGACUAGUUAACUACACAUCGAGCGAAUGUGGAUUAUUUUCGAAAAGAAGUUGUUCUUCGAAAUUCGAAGGGAGCAGAGAUUGUGUUUGUAGGGGAACAUCGAGUAUUACUGUCCUGUGUAAUCUCGGCCAUUAAAGCUUCGAAAUUAGUGCAAAAGGGUAUCUUGCUUAUUUGGCAUACAUGAUUGAUACUUCAAAGGGGGAACCUAAGUUAGAGGAUGUCCCAAUAGUAAGUGAGUUUCCUGAUGUAUUUCUUGAUGAUUUACCGGGACUACCUCCUGAUCGAGAGCUUGAGUUCCCUAUUGAUUUACUUCCGGGUACCGCACCUAUUUCUAUUCCUCCAUAUAGAAUGGCUCCGGUAGUGUUGAAGGAACUGAAAGUCCAGUUACAAGAUUUGGUGGAUAAAGGUUUCAUUCACCCUAGCAUUUCUCCUUGAGGAGCACCAGUCCUAUUUGUAAAGAAGAAGGAUGGCACUCUUCGAUUGUGUAUCGAUUACCGUUAGCUGAACCGAGUGACCAUCAAGAAUAAAUACCCUUUACCCCGGAUAGAUGAUCUUUUUGAUCAAUUACGAGGUGCUAUGGUNNNNNNNNNNNNNNNNNNNNNNNNNNNNNNNNNNNNNNNNNNNNNNNNNNNNNNNNNNNNNNNNNNNNNNNNNNNNNNNNNNNNNNNNNNNNNNNNNNNNNNNNNNNNNNNNNNNNNNNNNNNNNNNNNNNNNNNNNNNNNNNNNNNNNNNNNNNNNNNNNNNNNNNNNNNNNNNNNNNNNNNNNNNNNNNNNNNNNNNNNNNNNNNNNNNNNNNNNNNNNNNNNNNNNNNNNNNNNNNNNNNNNNNNNNNNNNNNNNNNNNNNNNNNNNNNNNNNNNNNNNNNNNNNNNNNNNNNNNNNNNNNNNNNNNNNNNNNNNNNNNNNNNNNNNNNNNNNNNNNNNNNNNNNNNNNNNNNNNNNNNNNNNNNNNNNNNNNNNNNNNNNNNNNNNNNNNNNNNNNNNNNNNNNNNNNNNNNNNNNNNNNNNNNNNNNNNNNNNNNNNNNNNNNNNNNNNNNNNNNNNNNNNNNNNNNNNNNNNNNNNNNNNNNNNNNNNNNNNNNNNNNNNNNNNNNNNNNNNNNNNNNNNNNNNNNNNNNNNNNNNNNNNNNNNNNNNNNNNNNNNNNNNNNNNNNNNNNNNNNNNNNNNNNNNNNNNNNNNNNNNNNNNNNNNNNNNNNNNNNNNNNNNNNNNNNNNNNNNNNNNNNNNNNNNNNNNNNNNNNNNNNNNNNNNNNNNNNNNNNNNNNNNNNNNNNNNNNNNNNNNNNNNNNNNNNNNNNNNNNNNNNNNNNNNNNNNNNNNNNNNNNNNNNNNNNNNNNNNNNNNNNNNNNNNNNNNNNNNNNNNNNNNNNNNNNNNNNNNNNNNNNNNNNNNNNNNNNNNNNNNNNNNNNNNNNNNNNNNNNNNNNNNNNNNNNNNNNNNNNNNNNNNNNNNNNNNNNNNNNNNNNNNNNNNNNNNNNNNNNNNNNNNNNNNNNNNNNNNNNNNNNNNNNNNNNNNNNNNNNNNNNNNNNNNNNNNNNNNNNNNNNNNNNNNNNNNNNNNNNNNNNNNNNNNNNNNNNNNNNNNNNNNNNNNNNNNNNNNNNNNNNNNNNNNNNNNNNNNNNNNNNNNNNNNNNNNNNNNNNNNNNNNNNNNNNNNNNNNNAAAAGCUGCAAGAUGGAGAAACUAGUGAGUUUAGACUCAGCGAUGAUGGUACUUUGAUGCUUAGAGACCGAAUUUGUGUCCCUAAGGAUGACCAGUUGAGACGAGCUAUUUUGGAGGAAGCUCAUUCUUCCGCCUAUGCUUUACAUCCCGAAAGCACCAAGAUGUAUCGGACUAUUAAAGAAAGUUAUUGGUUGUUGGGUAUGAAAUGAGACAUAGCAGAGUUUGUAACGAAAUGUCUCACAUGCCAACAGAUUAAGGCGGAGCAUAAAAAAUCGUCAAGUACUCUUCAACCUUUACCGAUUCCUAAAUGGAAGUGGGAACAUGUGACUAUGGACCUUGUAUUGGGUUUGUCGCGGACACAAAGUGGGAAGGAUGCUAUUUGGGUGAUUGUGGAUAGAUUGACUAAGUCCACCCAUUUCUUGGCUAUCCAUAGCACGUAUUCUAUUGAGAAGUUGACAAGACUUUAUAUAGAUGAGGUUGUGAGAUUGCAUGGAGUUCUAGUUUUUAUUGUGUCAGAUCGAGACCCUCGGUUUACUUCUCGAUUUUGGUCGAAAUUUCAGGAAGCUCUUGGAACUAAAUUGAGAUUUAGUACUGCCUUUCAUCCGCAGACAGAUGGUCAAUCUGAGAGAACUAUUCAAACCUUGGAGGAUAUGUUACGGGCUUGUGUCAUUGACUUUAUUGGGAGUUGGGACAGACAUUUGCCAUUGGUGGAGUUCGCGUAUAAUAACAGUUUUCAGUCUAGUAUUGGGAUGGCACCAUACGAGGCUUUGUAUGGAAGGAAGUGCCGAACUCCGCUCUGUUGGGAUGAAAUAGGUGAGAGAAAAUUGGUGAAUGUGGAAUUGAUUGAUCUGACAAAUGAUAAGGUCAAGGUUAUCCGAGAACGGUUAAAGACAGCUCAAGAUAGGUAGAAGAAUUAUUCGGAUAAACGAAGGAAAGAUUUGGAGUGUGAAGUUGACGAUAAAGUUUUUCUUAAGGUUUCUCCUUGGAAAGGUAAUAAUUUGAAAAUUCCAAGUAUUAAAUCUUAUUUGAUUAUGCUAUUGUGAUAAUUUGUGGUAUUUAUUGGAUAAUGAAAGAUGUGAUUCGAUUCGCGAAGAAGGGAAAGCUCAAUCCAAGAUACAUUGGACCCUUUCGUAUCAUUGAAAGGAUUGGGCCAGUGGCUUACAGACUUGAAUUACCCCUAGAGUUAGAUCGGAUUCCUAAUGUCUUCCACGUCUCGAUGUUGAAAAAGUAUGUUCCCGAUCCCUCUCACAUUUUACAGACACCUCCCAUUGAGUUGCAUGACGAUUUGAAGUUCGAGGUGCAGCCUGUACAUAUUCUAGAUCGAAAGGAUCAAGUGCUAAGGAAUAAGAGCAUUCCAAUGGUGAAAGUAUUGUGGAAGAAUGCUCGAAUGGAAGAGAUGACGUGGGAAGUCGAGGGCCAGAUGAGAAACCAAUAUCCACAUCUUUUCUUCGAAUCCGGUAAGUGAAAUUUUGAGGUCAAAAUUUUAUUUUAAAGGGGGUAGUGCUGUAAAGCCCGACCUUAUAAAAUACUAGUCAUUACAUACAUGUGAUGAUAGCAUGAUUUCAUGCUAAGAGAGUCCCGAAAAAUUUACAAGAGUCGGUAUUGUACUAGGGAUACAACAAAGUUAAUUUAAUCCUCGAACUAGAUCAAAUAGGAAUUUUAAGGUGAGAUUAAGAUCGUCACAAUCCAAGGAUGACUCAAAAUGGUAAUUCAGAGUUUGAGGAUCAAUUUGGAGUCGAAUCGAAGUUUUCACUAUCCAAGGGAAAAAUGGUCAUUUGCCACCUGGGGACAAAAUAGGAAUUUUAGAAAAAAAUUUUUGACCUCAUUUGACUUAUUGGAGUAUAAUUUGACUUAUUGGAGUAUGAUUUGAGGUUUAGAAGUAAAAAAUUUUAAUUUCGGUAUAAUUUGGAGUAUAGGGGUAAAAUGGUAAUUUUGCCAUCCCAGGGGCAAAAUUGUAAUUUUCCACUACCAGGAUAUUUUUCCAGCACAUUGUCUUCCUUUAUCCUCAUUUUUGACCUUUGACUAAUCAUGUGGUGGAGAUAAAAUGUUUAAAUUUUUAAAAUUUUAAAAAUGGACCAAUAAGAAAAUGCCAUGUGUCAAGCUUAGGAUAAUUUAAUAUUUACCUUAAAAAUCAGCAUAAAUCAGCCCAUUACUCUCCAAAUAUUCGGCCAAGCAAGGAAGAGAGAGAAAGAGAGGAAGAACAAACCCUAGGUGAGGAAUUUCAAGAGAAAAAGUGUGGAAAAUCAAGAAAAACAAGUGAAAAAUGUAGGAUUUUUCAACUUAAGCUUGAAAUCUAUUUUCCUUGAUCAUUUUUCCAUAUUUUCCAUGCUUAAAUUACAUGUUUUCAUGAUGAAUUGUUGGCUGAUCAAAAUGGGUUAGGAGAGAGAAAGUUGUUGGAUUUAUUUGAUUUUAAGUUAUGUUAGUGUUUUUAGUUAGUUUAGCAUAUUUAGAAACAAAACAACAAGAAAAGAAUUUAUUUUCUCCCACAACCAUUAAUGGCCAAAUUUACCAUGUAUGAGUGAGGAUGAGUUUGAUUUUUAUUCUAGGAGAAUUGGUUAAGAAAUGAUGAAUUAUGAGCCUAGAAAAAUAAUGAGAAUUUUCGGGGCAAAAAUAUGAAUUUUUACCCAUUAGUGGUAUUUUCAUAAUUUACUGUCGAGACUGAUAAUUUGCACCACACUGAGGGACAUUAAGUCAAUUUGGGUGCAAUUGAGGUAUAGAAACUGAAAAAAAUUAAUUUGGAAUUAAAUUGGACGCGUUAGUAAUUUAAUCGGGUGAUUAGACGAAUUAGGUCAAUACCAAGUUUAGAUAGUUACCAGUGCAUUUUUGCAUUCCAUAUUAUGCAUUAAUAGUCUAAAUUAGUUUAAUUUCAAUUUAGUACCAAUGUAGUGAAUUUCUCGAUUUUGUACUGUGUCAAGGUGGUGGGUCCUUCGAUAAAGGCAAGGAAAUUGCAUCCGAGGACCAGUAGACAGAGUGCGUCGAAAGUCUGCACUCUAGACAUUUUAGUAAACUUAUUGUCAUUUUAAUUAUCUAAGGUGGUUUUUAGCGGAUUUCAUGAAUUCUAUGGGAAAAGGAAUUUAAAAAGGUAAAUUUUCAUGUUUUAUGAAUAAAUGUAUUUCAAUGAAAUUAAAUUAUAAAUUGUUUUGAAAUUAAUAAUGAUUUUAAAAAAUAGAGUACACGGAGACUGUUAAUUGUGGCAAUUUGAUUGUUUAAAUUGAUUGGCUUAUGAUAAAUCGGGCAUGAUUGGCUAGUUGGCAAUUGUAUUGAAAUACGAAUUGUUUGGUUGCCUUGAAAGACUGCGAAUUACAAAAUUGCUAUAUCAUGUUAUUGAGUUUUAUUGUAUGGUGGAUUAUAUAUUAAUUAAUCACUGCAGUAUGGGGUUUCUGUGGACCAACCUUUUAGAGCGGCACAGUAAACCCCAUUAGAUUCUUACCUCGAACGAAGAGGCGCGUAGGGUAUCUCCUGGGGUAAAGUUUAGAGUUCACUUCACGCUAAACCACCACGUGAGGGGGAACUCAGCCAACGCCAAGGAACAGCUAUGUUUUCAAAAUAAAAACAUGAUUUAUGUGAAAUGUGAAUUUUAAUAGCCUUGGCGGUCUCGGUAGGAUGCCUAGGCCAAGGUGUCCCUGAGAAUGGAUUUAUGGCACAAGUCUAGUUUUUAUGAAAUUCACAAGCCUCUUUACAUAUUUUAAAUGAAAUGUAUUCUAAUGCUGUGACCCAGUUUACGAUGAUUUAUUUUAUUGUCUCCAUGUACUCAACUCUAGAUAUUUAUGAUGAUGUCUGUUUACUCAUUGAGAUUUUAUAAUCUCACCACCCUCCUUUCCACCCAUUUCAGGUUCAGUAUAGGCUGUAGAUAGCUGAUCUCAUCGAGGACUACCGUUGGAUCUGCAUUUUCCAAACCGUAGGUUCACAGUCCUCUUUACUUUUGUUUAUUCGGGGGCCCUCUUGUUAUUGUAAAUUAAAUUAAAUAUUUUGGCUUACUGUAUUUCAGUAUGUAUAAAUUUAUUUAGCUUUUACGCUAUAAAAAUUAUUCACGUAUAACUCUAUAAAUAUUGUUUUAUAAGAAAAUAGAAUAUUUUCCUUAAUAUUUCUUUUAUUUUCUUAUUAUAUUCAAAUAACCGUAAUUUCGUUUUAAAUGAAGAUUUUAGACUUUUAAACUCAUUUUGAAUAUGAAUUAUGUGUUUUGUACUUGUAUAUUACGUUUUAGCCAGUUUCAAAAAUUUUGAGAAAAAAUGACUAAAAUACCCCUAUGAGACGAAAAUUAAUAUUUUAUUUAUUUUUAGUUGGAAACAGUUUAAAAUCUUUUAGAACACGAUAUUUGACAAUAGUUGCUCACAAGGGAAAUAAGAAACUAAUAGUAAAGCCUUGUGGGGUUUCAAGUUGACAUUUCGGGCAAUGAGUGUCUACCGAGACACCGCGGCGGUUGCCACGGGCUCGAGGGGAGUACCGAGUCGUGACAAUUCGAUUGACAAAUUCUUUAAAAGAAAAUAUAUAAAUCGUCCAAAUGAUCCUUCUACACUUGAGCCAUCAAGUCUCAAUGCUUCAAAUCAUAAACCAGAACAAUGUAAAUCAAAACGUCCAAGACUCAAUUCUAAAGACAUGGUUGUUUUUUCAGUACAUAAUUAAUAAUUAAUGAAUUUGAAUCCAGGAAACAUGGUCGGGCAUCUAAAGGACUAUUGUAAGUCUUUCUUUUCUUGAUUUACAUGUUAUAUAAAAUUAUUUUAUAUUAUUAAUCUUUUGAUUGUUGGUUAAGGUUUUUUUUUUAAGUUGAAAAAAUUUCUCAAAGCCAACUACCAUGUUAAAGUUUAUGAAAGAUAAAAAAGAGAAGUACACUAAGAAGGGGGACAUGAACCUUACCUCUAAAAGUACAUGAGAUUGAAAAGUGGUAAGUCCUAAAGGGAGUAUUACUUCCUUUGUAUAAAAUCUAUUAAAGCAUGAGCUAAAUACUAUUACUUGCUUACAACAGAUGAAAUAAAUAAGGGGCACUACUCCCUUACAUAUAUUUAAAUCUAACAUAAGGUAAAUUAAUUCUAUCUAACUUUAAGAUACCAUUUAGCUCACCUUCGACAUUAAAGAACACCUUAAGCCCUAGAUGUGAAUAGCCUUGGUUGUAGAGAAAGUUUGCAACUUGGUUGCCCUCACGAUAGAUAUGAGUGAUUCGGUAAGUAAAAUGAUGUAAACAUUUUCAAAUGGAAGAUAAGAUAAAUAGAAUGUCAUAUGAUCCGGUACUCCCUUCCAAUAUCAUGUUUACUACCACCUUGGCAUCCAUCUCAAUCUAAAGUUUAGAAGUAUUGUGGUCACGGCAUAGCAGAAGUCCUCUUUGAAGAGUGAACAAUUCAGCUUUUAAAGAAUUAUGAGGUCUUAAAUUUUCAAAGAAACCAAAGAGAAGCAUACAUGUAUGGUCACGUGUGAUAUCUCCCCUUGUCGCAUUUUGAAAACUGUUUUUCAAGCUCCCAUCCACAUUCAACUUGAUUUCAUCAAGGCAUGGCUUCAACCAUCUAAUAAUUUAGGGUGGCAUGGGUGGUUGAAUAGGAAAGUUGAUAUUCCACAACUUUGCUAUUUGCAUAGCACCUUUCCAUUACCAUAUGUGCAUUUGAUUUCUUUUGUGAUGCUGAAUCAACCUUCAUUAUUCGCCAUAUAACACAUUGGGGAUAGACUCCCAAUUGCCUAUGUUUAGCAUCAUUUCGUUUAACCCAUAAGAACCAACAUAUAAAAACUGGAAUCAAAACCAAAAUGUGAUUGUACUUUGUAUAAUCUCUCGAAUAAAACCAUGCCUGGUGUGCCACUGAACCUUCCUAAAAAACAUGCAUUAAGGUUUCUUCAGUAUAACAACAUUAGCAUUUUGAUGCUAGCUGAAACCGCUUGGACUUUAAAUGGAUUUCAAUAGGUAACCAUCCUUUAAGUACUUGCCAAAAAGAGAAUGAAACUGUGAGUGGGAUGCUUCUAUGCCAUACUAAUUCGAAAGCAUUACUUACAAGUUGUUUUUGAUGAUCUAUCUCCCAAACACUAUUGGUAAUAAACUCACCAUCUGAAGUAGGGACUUAAUAUGCAACAUCAUCAAAAGAUUUUUCAAAGGGAAUAUUGGCUAUGUCUUCCACCAUAAAUUCAGGAAGAAAUGCUUUUAAUUUGUCCACAUCCCAUUUAUUAUUAUCAUAAAAAUAGCAUACUUUAAUCAUAAAAUGUAAUUGGGAAGGGAAAAAAAUUACCAAUAGUUGUUCACCCAUCCAACAAUCAUGCCAAAAGAAAAGUUCAGUUUUUCCUAUCUUCCAUCGAAUGUCUUCUUCAGCAAUUUGGCAACCACUCAUCAAACGCUUCCAUAUGGGAGAAUCAUGGAUCUUAACUUUGACUUGCAUUGGAAUUUAAUGACCAUAAUAUUUACCAUUAAUGAAUUGUGCCCAUAAGCUAUUUGAAGUCUGAAACCACCACCAAAGUUUAAGAUUGAAUGCUUCAAACACAUUCAUUAAGCUACGAAUAUCAAGACCACCUUCAUUACCAAGAUAACAAUUUUUUUUCCAAGUAGCCCAAUAUAUAUGUUUGGCAGCGUAGAAUCUCCUCAAAAGAAGCUAUUAAAUAUUCAUUUAAUCUUCUUAACUACACAAAGUGGAGGCUUUAGCACUUAAAGCAUAUAUAAAGACAUAGAAGAUGAGACACUCCUUACUAAAGUUAUCCAUCCUGCUGGAGACAAAACCUUAUUUUCCCAUCAAGAAAUUUUUUCUCUAAUUCUCGAUAUAAGGGAAUCAAAUAAGAUUGAAUUUUUUGGUCCCUUGUAUAGUGGCACCCCUAAGUAAGUAAUUGGCAGCUUCUUGCGAGCGAAACCCAUGGCAAAGUGAAUUAUCUGCAAUUUAGAAUUAGCAAUUUUAUUGCUAGUAAUAAAACAACUCUUCUGUUGAUUAAUUUUUUUGUUCAGAGACCAUUUUAUACUCUUAAAAAUUCUGAAUUUUUCUCAAGGCUAAAUGAUUCCCAUUGGUAAAAAUAAUUAUAUCAUUAGCAAAAAAUAGAUGACUUAUUACCAUAAAAUCGCCUACCGAAUAAUGUAAUGAAGAAUAUUUUCAUAAAGAGCAUUUAAUCCCCUAGACAAGCCACCAAGAUAAAAAGAAAUGGAGAUAUGGAGUCACCUUGUGUCAAACUUUUCUCAAAUUUAAAAUAUCCCAUCGAAGCCCCAUUGAUCAGUAAUGAGAACCAAUAGUUAAAUAUGCAUCUCUAAAUCAUGUUAAUCCACUGCUCAUUGAAUCCAAGUUUUCGCAUCAUAGAAAAUAGAAAAUUCUAACUCAAACGAUCAUAUGCUUUCAUCAUAUCAAGCUUUAAAGCAAUAUUUCCUUCUUUGGCUUUUUGAUCAAUUUUUUGGAUUAAUUCUUCAACUAAAAGAAUAUUAUCAUUGAUAAGCCUGCCACCCACAAAUCCAUUUUGAUUUUCUAAAAUUAAUUUUGACAAAAUUUUUGCUAAUCGAUUAGCCAACAGUUUAGUAACUAUUUUGUUCAGGAUAGUACAUAAAUUGAUCGAAUGAAACUCACUCCACUUCAUUGGAUUAAAAGUUUUUGAUAACAGAACAAGUGUUGUAGAAGUUACCCCUUUUGGUAACAACUGUCCGUGGAAAAAAUUUAUCAUUUCAACUAAUAAAUCGUCUAAUACGAUUUUUCAACAAUGCUGAUGGAUUGUUAGUUAAGUUCAAUACAUUUGUUUUUAAAAUUUUUAACUCUGAUUCCUCUGUCUUUGACCCCCAACAAAAGUUAGCUAAUUUCGCCUUUGAACACAAACAUCAGAUAUUCUAAUGAAAUCCAGCACGGUUGCUAAACUUUUCUAAUAAAUUUUUCGUUGCUCAUGGUAAUUUAAUCAAGAACUUAAAUUAAUAAGAAUCUUCAACUCUAGCUUGCAAAUCAACUCAACAAUUGUAUCUUAACUAGAUAAACUCUUGUGCGGCAUUAUUGGGUUUUCCAUUUGUAGCCUGAAUAAGAUUUGCUUAUUUGCAAGCACAAGUUAUGUCCUUCAUUUAUUUAAUCUAAAUAAGCCAUAGGGAGAGAAUUUACAUGUAUCUGUAUAGGUAAUUAUGGAAAAUUUUAAAUGUGGUAGAUUUAUGCUCAAGAUAGCAUUUUGGUACUUUUUUUUUCACCCCUUCUCCGUUGCAACCAUUAACAUUAGAAUUAGUCAAUGCUUAGAAAUUUUAUGCCCCAAGUUGUAAAAAAAAAAAAUACUUUACAUAUUUUGCUAUUAUGAGCAACAUAUCUAAGCAAAUGUUACAUCAAUUGGCCUUUCAAAAAAAAAAACCAGGUUGUGAGUCUUUUUUAAUUGACUUACACUUGUUCUUAUAUAUAGAUAGCAAAUAAUAUUUCAGUGUUUUAAGUCAGUUAUAAAAAGACUUACAACCUUGUUCUUACAUAUAGAGAUUCGUCGAAGAAGAAGAUAGAGAUCAUUCAUUGAAAUUAAUCUUCACUCAAUGAAGAAGGAAACUGAGGUCUAUGUGACAGGUGCAAUACGUUACCUAGGUUCUUCCUUGAUCAAAAACCUGCUAGAAAAAGGUACACUGUCCAUGCAACAACAAGGAAUUUGGGUCAGUAAAGGAAAGAAUUAUUUUUUUUAACCUUGAAAUUUUUAAUUAUAUUAUUAUUCUUAAAAUUGCACAAGUUUGUCAAAUUUAAUUUAAUGGAAGAAAAAGAGGUUAAUGGAGUUGGAGAGAGACAGAAAGAGGAAAACAAGAAAAAUCAGUUGUGAUGGAGUUGGAGAAAGAAAAAAUUAUGAAUAUUUUAAAGAAACUUUUAAUAUUUAGUUUCAAAUCUCUAAAGCUGUUUAAUUUUAGGUCAUUAACAAGGUAAUAACAUUUGGUGAGUUAACGGUGUAUCAAAUAUAAACACAUAUUAAAAAGUCUUUGAACUAUUUAAGAAAAUUUAAAUUAGUCAUUAUUUUUCUAUUAUAUCCAAUCAAGGCCAUUGUAACACCCCUGAUUUUUUGAUGUGGCCUAAAUGUGAUGUUGGCCAAGUGAUUUGAUGAGUGAACUUAAUGUAUAUGCUUGAGGAGCAUGCAUAUGAGCUAUUGUGGUCUAUAGAGAAACAUUUUGAAUUUCAGUGUACAUUGAGGAUUCUAAUGAUAUGAUGAAAUAGCUAAGCCAAUUGAUGAGCUAAAUUGAAUUUUUGGUGUAUAUGUUUAAGAGUUUCAGUGCACAUUAAGGAUUCUAAUGAUAUGAUGAAAUAGCUAAGCCAAUUGAUAAGCUAAAUUGAAUUUUUGGUGUAUAUGUUUAAGAGUUUAAGAGUAUGCCUAUGUCCAUAGAGUAAUGAAUAUGAUAAAUGAGCAUUUGAAGGCUCAAAAUAAUGUUGUGCAUAUAUUUGGCACAUGAAUGGUAUAGUGCAUUGUUUGGCACUUUGAUAAAUAUGACACUUAAUGUAAAUUAUGCCAAGCUUUGAUUUGUAUACUAUGUGACAUAGAGCAUAAUGAGGAUUUGAAUCUGUGUGAUGAGUACAUGCUCGGAUAUUGAGCACUCUUGAUGAGUUGAGAUGGGAAUGAUAAUUGUGGUACUUAAACCACUAAUCUUAGAGCUUGAAUAUGGUGAACUAUAUGGUUUGAAGACUAAGCGAGAUUCUGAAUUUGAUAAUAUUUUUGAAUGUUUAUGUGUAAAAUUUCAUGCUAUAUGAAUGAUUUGAAGUGUUUUAUGAGUGGAAAUGAAUUAAAGAACUUACGAGAAGUGAUUUGAGAGGUUAAAUUUGGAUUUUUGGAAAGUUGGAGUGUAGGGAAUGCACAUUCUGGGCAAAAUGUAUCGAGACAUUAGUAAAUAUAUCGAUACAUUCUUGGCAGGAUGAACAAUACAAGGCCUACAUGAGGAAUUGUAUUGAUACAUUCAAGAAUAUAUCGAUAAAUUUGGCCAAAGAUGAACAUGUAUCGAUACAUUGUUCAAAUGUAUUGAUACAUUUGAAGCAAAGAGCACCCAAGACCAUUAUCCCUGAAAUGUAUCGAUACAUCACCCUAAUGUAUCGAUACAUUUAGUCUAAAUAUGGGCAAAUGUAUCGAUACCUUGCCAAAUGUAUCGAUACAUCACAAAGGGAAGGCAAAAAUAAAAAGAGGUUUCAGGCAUUCCUCCUUUUUAAAAAUAAAACCCAUUCUCUCUUUUUCUCUCUUUACCCCAUACGAAACAUUAAGCCCCUAAAUGACAUUUGGAGCCUAUUUGAGCUAGAUCCAAGCUUGGGAAACAAUUCGGAGGCAAGAUUAAGCGUUUUUACCAAUUGAUUUUCAAUUUAAUUAGUUAAUAACCUCGGAUCUAAAUAUUUUCAAAUUUGGUCAAACUCUCUCCCAUUGAGUUUAUUAGAGAUUUAGAGCCCAUAUUUGGGCAACCCAUCUUCUAAGGUAAGGAUUUAGCUCAUUUGUUAAAAGGAUGAGCAUGUAUAUUGAAUUUGGGUCUUUUUGAAAAUUUAGGAUAUUGUCGAAAGUUAUGAAAUAAUUAUGAUUUUGAUGUUUUAAUGUGUCUGAGGGGAUAGUUGAGCUAUUUUACUCAUUGGUGAGCUAGAGGACGGUUGGAGGCUAAAGGUUGAGCUUGAUUGUUGUGUGCCUCCGAUUAUCAAGGUGAGUAGGAUUUAAUUAAAUACAUGUGAUACAUUUCACAUAAUGUAUGUGUUGCCAUGGUACUUAAAUGUUGUGUGUAUGCCAAGAUGAGAAUGCCUAGGCUAGAGAAAUAUGUGUGUGUGUGUGUGUGUGUGUAUGUUUGCCUAAAGGUAUGUGCCUACGCUAGAGAACAAUUAUGGUUGUGUGCCUAAAUGAAGAUGACUAGGCUAAUUAGUUAUCUAAGAUAGGAAAUUGUGCUCGUGUGAUCUAUAGUGAGCCAUAAAGUGACAUUGUGAUGGAACCCAUAGUAUGUAGGACCUAGAGCAAGUGGCUUACACAUGGUGCGAUAUGAAUUAUGUAUUAAAGAUUGUGCCAAAUUGUGAUGAAUGGAUUGCUUAAUUAGGUAUAUGGGCAUGAUAUGUAUUUGGGUUAAUGGCACAGCGAUCAAGGUGAUGUUAAGUAUGUGAGGUCAAAGAGCCAUGAUUGCUUAUGGAUAUGAUUUGUGCAUGAAUGCCCAUGUAUUUGUGGUUGAUUUAAGGAUAUGCAUAAGGCUGUUAAGCCAUGUUUGAUACAAUUAAAUAUGAUGAUUGCCCAUGUGUGGUUAAGGGCACAAGGGCCUAUGGAGUGAUUAUGUUUUGUUUGAUGAUGCCUUAGAGAUUUGAAGGCACUUAGAAUUAUACCGAGCUUAGAGAUGACUGAAGCACAUUAAAUUUGAAUAUGAUUUGAUGUGGACAUAUGGAACGUCACAAGCACGAUGGCCUAAUUUCUGGAUAUGUGUUCUAUUAAAGGGAUAAAUUUUGGUCAUUGAUUUGACUUGAGAUGGAGUGGAGUUCCACACCUUGUGAUUAUGUGUGUGCUUGCAGGGAUGGUGGCACUAAUCCUGCUUGUGAUUUCUGCCUGCAGUGCUUUGAUACCAUCUAUUGAGAAUACUCCGGGUGAUACAGACGUCAGGAGAUUUUACUCUAAUUGAUGAUUUGAUUCCUUGCCAACUGCUUCGAUGCCGUGCCUGAUCUGUUCUCCACUUUUACUUUGGCACGCGCGUGAUAUGUUUCUCAACCCAACAGCUUUGUCCUGUGCGUGAUUUGUUUCUCCACCGAUUGGUCACUCAUGCGUGAUUUGAUAAUGUCCAGAGUAGGACCACUCAUUUGAUUCGUUUGACUAUAAUGACAUGCAUCGAGUAUGGCAUGAUCUGAUUUGAAAUAUGAAUAUGUGGUGACUACUAUGAAUGACAUUUGAUGAAAUGCUUCGGAAUAAGCAAUUAUUUGUAUAUGGAAUUUGAGGUUGGGCUCGACAACUAAGGUGUGCCAAUGAAUCCUAGUUUAAUGAUAACGACUUUAAAGGUAAGCCUUGAUUUGAUGUGAGGACACAAAACUUGUGAAUUGUGGAUAUAAUAUGCCGUUAAGAUGUGAUCUGGUAGAAUUUAAUAAGAUGAGUUGUGCAUGUUGGAUAUUAAGAUGAUCCUUAUACCUUUUGAAUUAGAGAUGUUUGAAUAUGAAUAUAUUAUGGCUAGAUAGGCCUAGAUAUAUAUAACAUAUAUAUGAAAUAUUAUGUUAUGACAAUAUCCCCUCACUGAGAAUUAGUUGAUUCACCCUUCUGUUGUACCAUGUGCAUAUAAGAGAAGCUAUGGGGUUACGUGGCAAGUGUUGCCAAUUUGACUAACAUGUAAUUAGCAUCCGGUAGGUCUCCUUCCCAACGUAUCACUCUGUUGAGUCUAUAUGGGCCUUCUGCUUUCCAGUUUGGUUAAUUUGUAAAAUAUGUUAGGCACAAUGUGCCAUUUGAAUUGUAUAAAGGUUGUUAUGUACGAACCUGAUUUGAUGGCCAACGUAUGGCUUUAUGAAUAUUUAUGUGGAUUAUAAACCAGGGAUAAUGUAUCAUAUUUGAAUUUUAUUAUGAAUAUUUGAUUAUUAAAUCCCUUGGCUAUAUGACAUAUGAUUUAGAACUUUGAGGCUUACUCAAGUCUGUUGGGC
This 46675-nucleotide long non-coding RNA is filed under the name Theobroma cacao (cacao). Its description in RNAcentral is "long non-coding RNA (TCAC_LNC001871)". The record is from RNAcentral. Lineage: Eukaryota; Viridiplantae; Streptophyta; Magnoliopsida; Malvales; Malvaceae.